UCUGAAGUUUCUCUCUUCUCUGCCCACCCAGCACCUAUCUUUCUGUCCUUGGUCUGUAUCAUUUUAACUUAAUUUUACUGCAAAGAAAAGCUUGUCUUACCUUUCCGGUGAUUGCAUGAUCAGCAGGUGUUUUCGGAAGGGAGACACAUAUUUGUAAACUUAGAGAUAUAUCUCGUCAGUUAGAAAAUGUGGAGGCUGAAGGUUGCAGAUGGAGGCAAUGAUCCCUACAUGUACAGCACCAACAACUUCGUGGGAAGACAGAUAUGGGAGUUUGAUGCUGAUUAUGGAACCCCAGAAGAGCGAGCUGAGGUCGAAGCAGCUCGUGAAAAUUUCUGGAAAAAUCGGUUUCCGGUUAAGCCCAGCUGUGAUCUUCUCUGGCGAAUGCAGGUGAUCCCAGUUGUUUUUUUACUGUUUUUAUUGUUAUUACUUACUGUUAUGUCAUGAUUUGGGUUAACUUCAUGCUGUACCCUAAACCCAAAUCCAGCCCAGCCCAACUGAAUUGGACAGAUCUAAAGCCCAUUGGGCAGAGAGGACUUCUGUGACAACCCAUAUAUAUAGAAAAUUUAGUACUUGAAUUAGAGCUGUUUUGAUCUUAGUCCAUCCUAUAUUUGUUGUGUGUGUAUGUCUUUAAUUGGUAGAGAGACUACAAUCUUUUCAUAUUUAAAGCCAGAAGCAUUAUCUUUUCACAUUUAAAGCCAGACGCAUUCUCUUCGAUGAUUCUUAGAACUUCAGGAAGAAACAAGAACCGAACCUAUUGUUGUUUUUUUUACUGUUUUUAUUGUUAUUACCUACUAUCAUGUCAUCAGUAUUGAACAUUCAUUUGUUUUGAGGUUUAGAGUGCUUUUGCAUUGAUGCUAAUUAAUGAAGAUGUCUUUUGCAAAGCUUUCAAAUGGGUUUCUGAGUGCAUAUGAUGCUAAAAGAGAGAUGUUUUAGAAAACGGGCUUAGUUAUGAUGCUGAUCUCCAGGCACAUGAUGGUCAUUGGCCAGGGGAUUAUGGGGGUCCUAUGUUUCUACUGCCCGGAUUGGUAAGAGCUGACUUUUUGAAUGACUCAUGUUUCUCCAUUUGUAAAUUAACCAAUGCUAUUUGUCAGGGUUGAAUCUGGUGAGAAACACCCCCCCCCCAAAUAUAAUUUUUUUUUUCUAUAUAUGAUUUAUUCAUGUGUCUCAAUUUCCAUUUUAUCUAAUCCUUAUUUCCUCAUUGAAUAAGUGACAAUUGGGUGACAAAAUUGCAACGGGUCAUUACUUUAUAUAUUACGGGAGCUCUGAAUGUUGUCUUAUCAAUAGAACAUCAACGUGAGAUGUGUAGAUACCUUUUCAAUCAUCAGGCAAGAUUAUUUUCCUAUAUUUUGGCACUCUUAAAGUAUUAUGGUCUUUUGUUGCUGUUAAACUACCACUUGCAAUGAACUUUAGCUUUUGGGUCAAACGGUAGUCUAACAUAAUAUUAGAGUUUUGGUUCCAUGAUCUGAUAUCAUGUUAAGCUUUUGUAGAAGUGUAGUUUAACUAUCACUUCUCUUUCAUUUUAUAGGAUUCGAGACUCUAGAGAUAUUAACAUAAAUUAUUGUGUCGUCAUAAUUUUCUUUUGAUAUCAUUUUGAGAUGAGUACUUCCUCAACAUUAUUCUUCCUACAUACUCAUGUAAAGUGCUAUUAUUUUUAUGGGAAGCUAAAAUAUUCAACCAAAUGAAGCCUUUUACCAUUUACUUGGCUAGCUCUGGCAUUGCUAGUGAAGAAACAAAAGCAAUUAAAGGGAUAGCACGUUUUGUUGCAGAAUGAAGAUGGAGGUUGGGGGCUACACAUUGAGGGCCCGAGCACCAUGUUUAGUACUAUGCUAAGCUAUGUUACUCUAAGAUUGCUUGGUGAAGGAGCUUUUGGUGCAAAAGGAGCAAUGGAAAAGGCGCGGAAAUGGAUCUUGGACCAUGGGGGUGCAACUGCAAUAACUUCUUGGGGGAAAAUGUUGCUUUCUAUAUGAACUCAAAACUUUUGGCUUGAGAUAAAAUAUUAAUUGUUUUACAACUAUGAGUUGACAUUUGAUCUGCUUCUGAUGGCCACAGGUACUUGGAGCAUAUGAAUGGUUUGGGAAUAAUCCACUCCCACCAGAAGUGUGGCUAUGUCCUUACAUUCUUCCAAUUCAUCCAGGUCUCUCUCUCUCACUCUCUCUAAGUGUGUAAAUAUAAAUAUAAAUAUGAUUAUAAGUCUCGUGCAAUGAGGUGUAAAGGAUCAUGGUUAGCUGCAGAAGAAGUUAUUAAUCAUAUCAACUUGAUGCAUAACAAAGAUCCUAACUAGUGGGGAAAGUCAAAUGGCUAGAAAAUAUAAGUGGAGAUGAUUGUAACGCAUAAUGAAGGAUUGGACAAUACCUUCAAUAUAUCUAACUUACAUAAAAAAUAACAACAUGACUUAAUCAUAAAAUAUGAAUUUUUAAAUUAUGCCAAACUUUCCUUGACUACAAAAAGGGUUAGUGCAAUAGGUGUAGGAAAAAGAAUGUUUUUGUUAUACUUGGAGAGUUAAUUUACAACAAAUCAGGGCCCUAAAAUUAAAUUUAAGAAUUUAUAUUAAUGGAAAAAUAUCAAAACAAAUUAAAGAGAUCAUGAAAUAAUUUAAUUUUACAAAACAAUUUCUGGUGUCCAAAAUAGAGUGAAAAAAUGGACCUAUUGAAAUAUUGGUUUAUAUCUCUUAAUUGAAAAAUGAUUUUAGACUCAAACAAAAUUCUAUCAAUAUAUCUAGGAAGUCUACAACAUUAUGCAAUCAUGAGAAAAUUUUUAGAGAGACAUGAAACAACCUGAUUCAAUUUUUUAAUUACAAAGGUUCAAUAAUUCUAACAAAACGACAACAAGGUGAAUAAUCCAAACAUCACAAUAAAAAAUGAAUAACCAAAAAUAAAAUCGAAGGCAAUAAAAAUCAAAUAAAGGAUCUCUUAGCCACUAUCGUAUGUUAUCAAAAGGCCUCAAUCAAGUGAAAAUAAUUUCAAAGAAAAUAACUCUAAUCUUAAUUCUAAUAGGCAUCAAUUAACACGAGAUCAAUUAACCAUUCAUCAACUUCUAAGUAAUAUGUCAUCAACAAUCCGAUUAACAAUAAUCAAAGUGGCCUUCAUUAUUAGAUAUGCAAGAAAAUUGAUAAAGAGAUGAUCAGUUGAUUGGAAAAAAAUUAAUAUAUAUAGAUAAGAAUAAAUUAAAAAUUAAUAUUUUCAUUCAUAAACCUAAUCCUCCCUCACCAAGUUUAUUGACUUUAUUGGGUUUUCUCCAUGUGUAAAAUGACUUCAAAUUCAAUAAAAUUUCAUGUGUUAGGUUUAUUAACGAGUUUUAGAGCUCAAAAACCAAAUCAAGUAAUCCCAAAAUUUCACAGAUUGAAAGUGGCCUAAAAUGACUAUUCGCAGGUUCUCCUUUGCGCAUAAUUAUAUAUUUUUAAUAAAUAAAUAAACUUUAUUUAAAUAAAAUUAAUGCAUUGGAUUCUUUGAUUUAGAAAUCUAUCAAUUCCAUAAAUUUUUUUUGCAAAGACACCUGCUGGUCAUGCAAUCACCAUCCUCGUAUCAGAGGCUCCAUAAAGGUAAGACAAGCUUUUCGUUGAAAUAAAAUAUAUCAAUAAAAAAUACUUGAGAGUCCAAAAAUUCCACAAACGUGGUGGGGGUUGGUGAAAAAAUCCAUAAUACUUGAAGUGGGUGAAAAAUGAAUUGAUAGAAGUGAUGGGGGUUGGUGACUUGGUGUUGUGCUUCUCUAUGAAUGAGUGAUUCCCACCUGGAACUCGCCAUUCCAAGUUUCUGAAGUUUCUCUCUUCUCUGCCCACCCAGCACCUAUCUCUCUGUCCUUGAUCUGUAUCAUUUUAACUUAAUUUUAUUGCAAAGAAAAGCUUGUCUUACCUUUAUGGUGAUUGGAUGAUCAGCAGGUGUUUUCGGAAGGGAGACACAUAUUUGUAAACUUAGAUAUAUAUAGAGAUAUAUCUCUUCAAUUUGGUGAGUUAGAAAAUGUGGAGGCUCAAGGUUGCAGAUGGAGGCAAUGAUCCCUACAUCUACACCACCAACAACUUCGUAGGAAGACAGAUAUGGGAGUUUGAUCCUGAUUAUGGAACCCCAGAAGAGCGAGCUGAGGUCGAAGCAGCUCGUGAAAAUUUCCGGAAAAAUCGGUUUCCGGUUAAGCCCAGCAGUGAUCUUCUCUGGCGAAUGCAGGUGAUCCCAUCUGUGUCAAAAUAUGCACUAGAUGAGUUAUCCUACUUCUUUAAUUAGUUAAUUUAAUACACUGAAGAAUAAUAUAAUGAGAAAGUGCCAAGUGGGCAUAGGGUGAACACCUUGAGCUUAGAUUAAUUAAUUGGUCUUGUUCUAGCUUACGUCUUCAACUUCUUAUAUGUACUAGAUGAGUGCAUAUAUAUAAACAACAUGUGAAAUGAAGUAGUAUAUGGAAAAAUUGAGAAAGGAAAUUGAAAAGAUAGAUGUUAAAAUCUUUUAAUAGAUGGAAAGAGAGAAGGAAAACAUGAAUUUUGGAGUUAUGCUUUGUGCAGAGGGUUUGGGUUAACUUCAUGCUGUACCCUAAACCCAAAUCCAGCCCAACCCAACUGAAUUGGACAGAUCUAAAGCCCAUUGGGCAGAGAGGACUUCUGUGACAACCCAUAUAUAUAUAGAAAAUUUAGUACUUGAAUUAGAGCUGUUUUGAUCUUAGUCCAUCCUAUAUUUGUUGUGUGUGUAUGUCUUUAAUUGGUAGAGAGACUACAAUCUUUUCAUAUUUAAAGCCAGAAGCAUUCUCUUCAAUGAUUCUUAGAACUUCAGGAAGAAACAAGAACCGAACCUAUUGUUGUUUUUUAACUGUUUUUAUUGUUAUUACCUACUAUUAUGUCAUGAUCAUGGUCAUUAGUAUGUUAGGUUUUUAGUUGCUUAUAGAACAUUCAUUUGUUUUGAGGUUUAGAGUGCAUAUGAUGCUAAAAGAGAGAUGUUUUAGAAAACGGGCUUAGUUAUGAUGCUGAUCUCCAAAUUAACUUGAUAUGCCAAAAUAUUCCUGUGCAAGAAAUGCUAGAUUGCAUACUUCGAAAAAAAUAGCUCACAAACUUGAGGGAUAGAUAUAGACUUCUUUUAUUUUUCAAAGCUGGGAAACUUUAUACUGCAUGUCAUUGCUGAGACUGUGAGAAAAAAUAGGAAGAGAAAUGAAAAAUAAGUUGUAUGGUUGCUUUUAGAAGUUUCCAUGUUCAAGUCAAAAACAUGUUGGGUAUUGACACUUCUCUGGCAGACUGUACAUGUGUUUCAAGGAUUUAAGUUUUUAAUUUCAUUACAUUUCAUAUUUAUAAUUGCUUGCUGACUUAUUAUUAUUCUAACCUUUUCUUUCUGAAAUAUAGUUUGCAAGGGAGAACCCAUGUGUCGCAAACUUGCCACAAAUCAAAGUUCAAGAUUUGGAAGAAGUGACGGAGGAGGUGGUGACGACUACCUUACGAAGGGGCUUAAAUUUCUAUUCAACUAUGCAGGCACACGAUGGUCAUUGGCCAGGGGAUUAUGGGGGUCCUAUGUUUCUACUACCCGGAUUGGUAAGAGCAGACUUUUUGAAUGGCACAUGUUCCUCCAUUUGUCAAAUAACCAAUGCUAUUUGUCAGGGUUGAAUCUGGUGAGAACCCUUUUUAUUUUUUCAUUUGAUAAUCUCAUUUCAUCUCUAUUGAACUUUAUGCAAGUCUUUUUAGAACCCACUGGAGAAGGCCAAAUAUAAUUUUUUUUCUAUAUAUGAUUUAUUCAUGUGUCUCAAUUUCCAUUUUAUCUAAUCCUUAUUUCCUCAUUGAAUAAGUGACAAUUGGGUGACAAAAUUGCAACAGGUCAUUACUUUACAUAUUACAGGAGCUCUGAAUGUUGUCUUAUCAAUAGAACAUCAACAUGAAAUGUGCAGAUACCUUUUCAAUCAUCAGGCAAGAUUAUUUUCCUAUAUUUUGGCACUCCUAAAGUAUUACAGUCUUUUGUUGUUGUUAAACUACCACUUGCACAAGAACUUUAGCUUUUGGGCCAAACGAUAGUCUAACAUAAUAUUAGAGUUCUGGUUCCAUGAUCUGAUACCAUGUUAAGCUUUUGUAGAAGUAUAGUUUAAUUGUCACUUUUCUCUUUCAUUUUAUAGGAUUCAGGAAUUUGAUGACAGAGAUAUUAACAUAAAUUAUUGUGCUGUCAUAAUUUUCUUUUGAUAUCAUUUUGAGACGAGUACUUCCUCAACAUUAUUCUUUCCACAUACUCAUGUAAAGUGCUAUUAUUUUGAGGGGAAGCUAAAAAAUUCAACCAAAUGAAGCCUUUUACCACAAGCUCUAGCAUUGCUAGUGAAGAAACAAAAGCAAUUAAAGGGAUAACACGUUUUGUUGUAGAACGAAGAUGGAGGUUGGGGGCUACACAUUGAAGGCCCAAGCACCAUGUUUGGUACCGUGCUAAGCUAUGUUACUCUGAGAUUGCUUGGUGAAGGAGGUUUUGGUGUAGAAGGAGCAAUGGAAAAUGGGCGAAAAUGGAUCUUAGACCAUGGGGGUGCAACUGCAAUAACUUCUUGGGGGAAAAUGUGGCUUUCUGUAUGAACUCAAAACUUUUGGCUUGAGCUAAAAUAUUAAUUGUUUUGUAACUAUGAGUUGACAUUUGAUCUAUUUCUGAUGGCCACAGGUGCUCGGAGCAUAUGAAUGGUCUGGGAAUAAUCCACUCCCAACGGAAGUGUGGCUAUGUCCUUACAUUCUUCCAAUUCAUCCAGGUCUCUCUCUCUCACUCUGUGUGUGUGUGUAAAUAUAAAUAUAAAUAUAAAUAUGAAUAUAAGCAAGGAGGUGAUUGUAAGGCAUAAUGAAGGAUUAAAGAAUUAAAAUUGCUUUUAGACAACUAGGACAAGAAUAUUACGUUAGAGGAAAGCUAUAGUAUCUAAUUUUAUUCUUCAUGUUAGAGAAUAGAAGCAAACUAUGGAGCAAGGAGGUUUCUUUAAAUAGAAUCCUAGACUUUGAAAGGGCUAGUUUAAUUAUUUUUUUAAAAAAUUUUCAACGCAUUUGGGUUCUUGCUAAUUUUAUUUAUAUUUUUGGGGAUUUUCCCCUAAAGUGUCCUCUUUAUUCCUUAAUUCAUUACCAUCAAAGCUUUAACUGAUUGUUUAAUUACUUUGCUCGAGUUUUUUUUCUUCCCUAUUAACAAAACUAGGUUCUAUUUCCACUUUAUUAAAGACUUUAAUUUUAUUCUCCUUGACAAACAAGUUACCAAAAAAUUAGGCAGCUUUUCAGGUUGAUUUUAUCUCACUGCUAGCAGGAUUUUAUUUGUCAAUGGUAAACUUUCAAAUUUUUAUCUAUAGGACGAAUGUGGUGUCAUUGCCGAAUGGUGUAUUUGCCCAUGUCGUACAUAUAUGGGAAGAGGUUUGUUGGUCCAAUUACACCCACAAUUAUUUCUUUGAGAAAUGAGCUAUACAUAGUCCCUUAUCAAGAAGUAGAUUGGAAUCAAGCCCGUAAUCAAUGUGCCAAGGUUGGUUAGCAUAUUUUCUCCUUCUGAACUCAUGCUUUUAACUUUUACCAUCCCCUUAUGAUGCUAUUUUAGCUCUUGUACUAUGCUUCUGAUCAGUAUUCUUGCAUAUGCAUGAUCUACAAGUUUAUCCCCGGAAAGUUUAUCCUAUUAGUUGUUGACAUAUUUUAUGUUAAUUAUCACUGGGAUGUCUAUAAGUUUCUCUCCAUUUUGAAGCAUACUUGUAUCUGGUAGAUGAUCAAGGAGUAUUAUUGUUGUGAAGCAAUAUUCCCUAUGUCUUGAUCUCACUUCUUUUGUUCCAAGGAGAUACUGUAAUGACCUGCACCCAAUUGUGUAGAUAUUGUCUGCUCUGAGCCCAAAGGGGCCCUCAUGACCUUUAAAUGUGUUUACCAGGUUAAGACGAGUCUCUACAUAUAUAGCAUCAGGAACUUUCUCCCCAUCCGAUGUUGGAUAUCAUAAACACCUCCCAUGUAUACAUAAUGUGCUUGUUGUGGGGCCAAACAAAUAAAUACUCCAUACGGGGCCAAACAAAUUCCCACAUCGAGGUCAAGGAUCGGCUCUGAUACCAUUUAGAACAACCUGCUCCCAAUUUCUUAGAUAUUGCAUACUCUAGGCUUAAAGAGGUACUUAUGGCUUUAAAACACGUCUAUUAGGUUAAAAGGAGUCUCUACAUAUAUAGCGUUAGAAACUUUCUCCCCUAUUUGAUGUGAGGCAUCAUAAACACCUUCUCAUACAGACAUAACGUCAUCAUUGUGUUCCAUAGAAUUGUGGGGCCUAACAGAGAAACACCCCCUACGGGGCCAAACAAACCUCCACACUGGGAUCAAAGAUCGACUUUGAUACCAUUUGUAACGACCCACACCCAACCAUGUUAAUAUUGUUCACUUUGGGCCCAAAGAGGCUCUCACUGCCUUAAAACACGUGUAUAGGGUUAAAAGGAGCCUAUACAUAUAUAACACUAAGAACUUUCUCCCAUAUCCAAUGUCAGACAUCACAAACACCCCCCAUGUGGAUACAACGUCCUCGUUGUGGGGCCAAAUAGACAAAUACCCCCUAUAGGGCCAAGCAAAUCCCCACAUCGAGGUCGAGAAUCGACUUUGAUACAAUUUGUAAUGACCCACUCCAAAUCGUGUAGAUAUUGUUCACUCUAAAUCCAAAAGGGCCCUCAUAGAUUUAAAACACGUUUACAUGGUUAAGAGGAGCCUAUACAUAUAUAGCACUAGGAACUUUUUCCUCUAUUUGAUGUGGGACAUCACAAACACCCCCUAUGCAGAUAGAACAUCCUUGUCGUGGGACCAACUAAAUAAAUACUCCUUUGAACCCAGAGCAGACAAUUUCUACAUGGUUAGGAACAAGAAGUUACAAAUGGUAUCAAAGUCGAUCCUAGACCCUAGUGUGGGGAUUUGUUUGGCCCCGUAGAGGGGGUAUUUGUUUUUUUAGCCCCACAACAAGGAUGUUGUGUCUAUAUGAGGGGUGUUUGUGAUGUCCCAUUAGAUAGGGGAGAAAAUUCCUUGUGCUAUAUAUGUGAAGACUCCUCUUAACCCUAUAGACUAUUUUUAAAGCCGUGAGGACCCCUUUAGGUCCAGAGUGGACAAUAUCUAUAUGGUUGGGUGCAGGUCAUGAUAAUUGGUAUCAGAGUCGAUAUUUGACCCCGGUGUGGAGGUUUGUUUGGCCUUGUACGGGGUGUUUGUUUGUUUGGCCCCGCAAUCCCUUGCGACACAACAAGGAUGUUGUGUUUGCAUGAAGGGGUGUUUGUGAUGCCUCACAUCAAAUAAAGGAGAAAGUUUCUACCGUUAUAUAUGUAAAGGCUCCUCUUAACCUUGUAGACGCAUUUUAAGGUCGUGAGGGCCCCUUUAGGUCUAGAGCAAAUAAUAUCUACAUGGUGGGUGUGAGUCAUUAUAGAUAACCUUGAAAAUUUUAUUUUUUGUCAUUAGCAAGUAUGAUAGUCACAAAAGUAGUGGUUCUACUAUGGGCUUGUGUUGUAUUGUCUAACUGAAAGUUGAUUGCUGAAAGUGCAAAAUGCAACACCAAAGUGCUCCAAUUGUGCUUUGGUGGAUUGUUUUUAGCCCAUACCCCAUGCAUAACUCUCCUUUCACUAAGGAUGAAAGGGUGGUGGUGGUGCCAUAUAUGCUUCUUCUUCAAAAUAACACAAAUAUAAGCAAAAGUUGCUUUGUCAUGUUGACAUCUUGAUCUAAUUGUGGAGUGUUUUUUUUUUUUUUUUUUUGUUAUUGUUGGUUUUUUUUUUUUUUGGUCAUUGUCUAUUUUGACUCCAUGUGAAGUUCACUAUCUUCAACUUAAAAAAAAAAAAAAUUAGUUAUUUAUUUAUUUUUUACUCCAAUAGAGAUAAUAUUUUUAGACUGAAGUUUCUAAGGUUCCUUGAUCAAGUCUCUCUUCUGCAAAAAAAUUAUUCCUUAUUAACAUGCGUAUGGCCCAUUUUAAAAUAUAAUAUAAGCAUUUUAUCAAUAUGUAAUUUGAUGUGUUUAUUGGUAGUUUGGUUAGUUAGGUGUAGAUGUUAAAAUAAUAUCGAUACUUUGCAAAUAUUAAUUAAGAUAUCUAACAUAUUAUGAACACCAUGAUUUUCAUUUGUCAUUGAAAAAAAAUCUCUAAAGUAAGGUUAUGUUCCUGAAUUUGGGAAUUUAAUGGAAAUUUACAAUGCAACACAUAUGAAUAUUUUUAUAUAUAAAUUUCAUGUAUUUCAUGUUGAGUUGUGGAUUGCAGUGAUACUUUAUGAAUAAUAACUAUAGGAGUUGCUCAUCUUUUUCUCUAAGCUUAUUAUUGAGUAACUAAGGGUCUAAGAGAAACUUUUUGGCUGUUGUGAAAAGAAAUAGGUUUUCUUGCAAAGAUGAGCCAAUCUUUUGAAACUUGUUGAGAAUCUCAAUAAGAUCAUUUUUUUUAUUUGGUUGUUACCUAUUUUUUAGGGUUAAUCUAAUUGUUACCUAUUUUUUAGGGAUAAUUUUUGUAUUUUUUUAGGGAUAAGUUGUUGUUGUUGCUUUUUAGGGAUAAGUUGUAUAUUUUAAAUUUAUUUUGUUCCUAAAAAUCUGGGUCUACAACUGUAGAUUUAGUUUGAUUUGUUGUAGCUUAUCUAUAAAAGGAAGCAUGUUUCCAUUCCUUAUUCAAUUAAUAUACAACAUUUUUUUUAUCCCAUUCUAGAUGGUAUCAAAGGCAAGUUAAUUGGCUAUUCCAUUUCUUUUUGUUCUUAUUAUUUUCAAUUCUAUUCUUCUUCCCUUUCAUUUUCUAUUUCUAUCUCUUUACCAUGUCAGAAAUUUAUGAAUCUACUCAUUUCAUUACUACUAUUUCCAAUUCCUUAAAAUUACCCACAUCCAAUUCUCAUUCCCACUCUAUCCAAAUCACCACAAUUCGCCUUAAUGAGACCAAUUUUCUUAGAUGGUCACAAUAUGUUCAGAUGUACAUUAAGGAUUGAGGCAAAAUUGGUUAUUUGACUAGUGACACCAAAGAACUAGCGAAGACAGACUGUAGCUUUGCCAAUUAGGAAAAAAUUGGUUUGUGACUUUUAUUGAUGAUCACAAACGCCUAUGCUAGCUUUAUCUAAUGAACUCUAAAUAUGAGGUUGCAAAACUCUUUUUGGAUUUUUAUUCUAUGGUUAAAACCAAUUUCAAACCAAAAGAAGUAUUCUUCGGUGUGACAAUGGAACAGAAUUUUAUAAUGAUUGUUUAGGUGAUUUUUUUUCUAGAGAAAGGUAUUUUACAUCAAUCAACUUGUAGGGACACUCCUAAAAAAAAUGGAAUUUCAAAACGUUAAAACAAAUAUUUACUUGAAGUAGGUAGAGCUCUUAUGUUUCAUAUGAAUAUUCCUACACACCUUUGGGGGGAUGCAAUUUUAACAAGUUGUUUCUUUAUUAAUAGAAUGCAUAAAAGGGUUCUAAACUAUGCAACACCUUUACAAACUCUUAAGAAUAAAUUUCCAAACACACGCCUCACUUUAGAUUUACCCUUAAAAUUUUUGGUUGUACAGUGUUCAUCCAUGUACCAAUCUCCGAUCCAAAUUUGAUCCAAGAACCAAAAAAUGUAUUUUUCUAGGUUAUGCUCCUAAUAAAAAAGGGUAUAAGUGUUUUGAUCCUACCACUAGGAAAAUUCAUGUUAGUAUGGAUGUCAACUUUAUUGAAAAUAUCUUUUUUUUCAUAACAAAACUACUCUUUAGGGGAAGAGCUCUAAUGAAGAUCAGUUUUGGCAACAAGAACAACCAAAACCUAGUAUUUUUCUUAUUGAUAAAAAAAAAGAUGUUUUAAUUAGUGAAAAAGAGGGAAAUACUGAUUUAUCUAUGCUAAGUAAAAUUGCUUCAUAAACAGGGGGAAAAACUCUACAACAUAUCUCCACUGAGUUCGGUGUUUAUACUAUGUGCAUGUUUAAUUCUAAUACUGAGAAUAAUCUAGUCAAUCUUGAGCAUGGUCAAUCAUCAUCUCCUAGUUCUCAAAAUCUAGGUAAUCUUCCUAUGGACUUCACUCAUUUACCUCUUUUUGAUCUUGAUAUCUCUAUUACAAUCCGAAAAGGAGUUAGGAAUUGUACCAAAUAUCCCAUUGCCAAAUAUCUGUCUUAUCAAAGACUCCUAUAAAAAAUAUAGAGCUUUCACUUCAAAUAUUUCACUUAUUCAUUCCUAGAACUAUACAAGAAGCACUAGGACACUUGGGGUGGAGGUGAGUGGUUCAAGAAGAAAUGAAUGCUCUUUUAAAAAAUAGAACAUGGGAAAUUGUUUGAUUUACCUAAGGAGAAGAAGGCAAUGGAAUGCAAGUGGGUUUUCACAAUCAAGUGUAAGCCCAAUGGUAGCAUUGAAAGAUAUAAAACAAGGUUAGUAGCCAAAGGUUUCACACCAACCUAUGGAAUUGAUUACUAAGAGACCUUUGCACCAAUUGCAAAGAUCAAUUCCAUUCAGAUUUUACUUUCUCUUGCAGUACACUUUCAUUGCCCUUUACACCAAUUAGAUGUGAAGAAUGCUUUCUAAAAUGGUGAUUUGAAGGAAGAAGUGUUUAUGGAUUUAUCAUCGGGUUUUGAAGAAAAGUUAGGAAAAAAAAGGUUUAUAGAUUAAAGAAGUCCUUGUAUGGUCUUAAGCAGUCUUCUAAGGCUUGGUUUGAGAUAUUUGGAAAGGUAAUCAAGCUUCAAGGAUAUAUUCAAAGUCAAGAUGACCAUACAAUCUUUUAUAAACACUCAAGAGAAGGAAAGAUUGUUGUGUUCAUAGUUUAUGUGGAUGACAUUAUUCUAACUGGUGAUGACAGUCCAGAACUUGAGAGAUUGAAGAAAGCUUUAACUUGUUAAUUUGAGAUAAAAGAUUAAGGUCCCCUGAAAUAAUUUCUUGGUAUGGAGUUUGCUAGAUCCAAGAAAGGUAUUUUCAUUUCUCAAAGAAAAUAUAUACUUGAUUUAUUAAGUGAAAUAGGUUUACUUGGAUGCAAGGCUAUAAAAACUCCUAUAGAACCGAAUUUGAAACUCCAACUAGCAAGCCUAAUAAAGGUGAUUGACAAAGAGAAAUAUCAAUGCCUAGUUGGAAGACUUAUUAAUCUCUCUCAUACUCAUCCCGAUAUUGCAUUUGCGGUAAGCAUGGUGAGUCAAUUCAUGCACUCGCUGAAUUAGGAACACUUUGAUGAUGUGUACAAAAUUUUAAGGUACUUAAAGGGGACUCUAGGAAAAGGACUUCUAUAUGAGAACCGAGGACAUCUCCAAGUGGAUGUGUUUAUUGAUGUAGAUUGGGCAAGGAGUGUAAUAGAUAGGAGAUCAAUUUCUAUGUAUUGUACUUUUGUUGGAAACAAUCUUGUGACUUGGCGAAGUAAAAAGCAAAGUGUUAUGGCUAGAAGUAGUGCUGAAGCUGAGUUUAGAGUUGUAUCCCAUGGCAUUUGUGAAGUUUUGUAGAUUAAACAAUUACUUGAAGACUUUAAGGCUGCUAGCCCUUUACCUAUGAAGGUUUUUUGUGAUAAUAAAGUUGUCAUUGUCAUUGCACAUAAUCUAGUACUCCAUGAUAGAACUAAACAUGUCAAGGUUGAUAAACAUUUUAUCAAGAAGAAACUGGAAGAUGGACUAAUUGUUAUGCCCUAUAUGCCUACGGUUGAACAAGUUGCAGAUAUAUUCACUAAGGGAUAGCCAAAAAGCAGUUUGAUGAUUUAGUAAGUAAGCUGCCAUGAAUGACAUCUUCAAACCAACUUGAGGGGGAGUGUUGAAAAUCUUAAUCAGAUCAGAAUUUUUCUGAUUUGGUUGUUACUUAUUUUUUUGGGAUAAUUUCGUUGUUACCUAUAUUUUAGGGAUAAUUUGUUGUUGUUUUUUAGGGAUAAGUUGUUAUUGUUUUUUUAGGGAUAGGUUGUAUAUUUUAAAUUUAUUUUGUUCCUAGAAAUCUGGGUGUACAACUAUAGAUUUAGUUUGAGUUGUGGUAGCUUAUAGCUUAUCUAUAAAAUGAAGCAUGUUUCCCUUCCUUAUUCAAUUAAUAUAAGACAUUUUUUCUCUCUCCCUAUUUUAGAAAACUAAUUCACCUAAUGAAGAAUGGGAGUCUAUUUUAUGUAACUUACAACUAAAUUCUGGUUUUUGUUGUGGUUCAACUGUUAUAUUUCCUUAAAAUUCUAAAUAAAGUCAACCAACAAUAUACAUUUCGAUUAAUUUGUAUCAUUUUUCUCCUUGGGGUUUAUUUGAUUUGCAGUUUCAUGAUGAUGACAUCAUUUUAAUAAGCAUUUAAGAAGGAAAUUUAUGAAGAAGAUCAAUUGCAUCUUUCUUAUGCUUUUGGCUCCUAGUUGAUUUUGAUAUUUGUCUUUACAAUUAUUGCCAGGAAGAUCUAUACUAUCCACAUCCACUGGUUCAGGAUAUUUUAUGGGCAUCUCUUCACAAUGUGAUUGAGCCUAUUCUGGGGCAUUGGCCCGGAAACAAGUUGAGGGAGAAGGCUUUAUGCACUGUGAUGCAGCAUGUACACUAUGAAGAUGAGAAUACACGGUAUAUAUGCAUAGGGCCUGUGAACAAGGUACAUGUGAAGUAUAGAAAGGUCCUUUGAACUGCAAUAAAUGAACUGAUUACUAUUAAUUAAGAACGAAACCAGUUAGCUUCUUCAAUUCGACCACUCUACUCAGGUUCACUUGAUCUAAUUGUCUGUUCUUUUCUGUUCCAUGAAGCUCUUGAUUUCCUGUUAUCUGAUUUGUACAGGUGUUAAAUAUGCUUUGCUGCUGGAUUGAAGAUCCAAACUCAGAGGCCUUUAAGUUGCAUAUUCCAAGAAUUAUUGAUUAUUUGUGGAUUGCUGAAGACGGCAUGAAAAUGCAGGUCCAUAAAUAGUAUUACUCUCUUUCUAUUUUAUCUCAGAGUGCCAUAUGUAGCCAUUUAUAGUGGCGUGUUGUAAAGGCAGAUUUUGUAUUUUAUUCCUUGGAAAUUAUUGAAUUUUAUUAUCUGUCUGUCAUACAUAAUAAGUUCACUGCAGGGUUGUAAUGGAAGUCAAUUAUGGGAUACUUGUUUUGCUGUUCAAGCAUUUAUUUCAACAAACCUAGGUGAAGAGUAUGGUCUGACUUUAAGGAAGGCACACCAAUUCAUAAAAAAUUCUCAGGUUCAUGUUGCUAUUGAAGUUUGAUCUCAUAAAUCACCUACAUAUAUUAGCAGUUGUCCAUAAUGAUUUUACUCGACUAUUCCUACUUUGUUUUCAAGGUCCUAGAAGAUUGUCCUGGAGAUCUGAAAUUUUGGUAUCGUCACAUUUCCAAAGGUGGUUGGCCAUUCUCAACUGCUGAUAAUGGAUGGACAACCUCUGAUUGUACAGCAGAAGCAUUGAAGGUAACAACUGAACUAACUCAAAAUACUUGUUAUACGGGCACUUUUAUUGUGUAUUUCUCUUGUGCAGGCUGUUCUAUUAUUAUCUAAACUUCUAUUGGAAACAGUUGGGGAACCAUUAGAUAUGGGGCAAUUGUUUGAUGCUGUAAAUGUUAUCCUUUCAUUACAGGUAUGGACAUAUUGAGUGGGUAUAGUUAUGGGGCGUUGGAACAACAAUGAGUGUUUUUGCAUUUUAAAAUUAGGAUUUGUGGAAAGUGUCUUUAUAUGCAUGGUUUGGAGUAACUUUAUAGACAUAGAUGCCUCUUCUGUACACAUUUUGAAAAACUGCACAUAAAAAGGGAUUUGAGCAAUUUUCAAAUACCAUCCAAUUUCUCUCCUGCCAAAUUGUCCAAAAAAGAUACAAAAGGGCAGCCAACACGCUCUCUUACAUCCCUUUCUGACAUAGAGUCCAUUCCAACUUAACAAGACCGGUGUUAUUGAAGUCUUCUCUGUGCAGUUCUAAAAAAUUUAUUAUUGCCUUAAAAGUUCUAGGCCACAAAACUAUUCCAAAAAUUAUACAACUUCAUAUCAGAUUUUAGAAUACUUGUAUAUUGCAAAUUUAUGCUUGUUGGCUGAAACUUGUUUUUGAAUCUUGCUAGCAUACCUAGAAUGGGAUUCUCAACUCAAGUUUUGUGUUGAAGAUUUUUACAAGUGUGUGCUUUGGGAACCAGUUCCAAUUCCUUGUUCAGCCUCUUCUCCCAUCUUUUCUGAUUAUCAAUAUUUAAGAUUCCCUGCUGUCUGACUUCAGGCAAGUGUUGUACUGAUUUUAUAGCUUUUUCCUUGGAAUCUCAACAGAAUGAAGAUGGUGGUUUUGCAACAUACGAAUUGACAAGAUCUUACCGAUGGGUGGAGGUAACUUUGAUAAAUACUAAUGCCAUUUUAUUAGUUUCACCUGAAGUUGCCCCAUGAAUGUAGCAUAUACAGUCCAAGCACAUUUCCUGUCAAUAAGUAGGAAAUUAGGUUCCAAAUGAAUGCCAACAUUAAAAGCAUCCAUGUGAAAAGUUUCAAUGAGUAUUCUAGAUUUCUGGCUCUCUUUUUGUGAUUUCUGGUAUUGAAUUCAGUGUUCUGUAAAUUCUGUUUUUUGGCUCAUUCUCAAUCAUUCUUCCUUUUAGCAAGUAAUCCUUGUGCUUUUCCAUCUUAUUGAUGAUUAUUGAAACAGGGUAGAAAAAAUUUCACAAACUAUUUGGUCCUUAAAGAUAAAGAAAGUUCCAUAUACCAUAACUAGGGAACAACAUGAUGUAAACUAUUGUGACCUUACUGCUCAUGGAAAAGCCUGCUCCACAGUUGAUUCUCUAAAUAAACUGAGUUGUCAUCUAGCUUUAUUAUUGAAAGGAAGGUGAGAUGGGCUUGUUAUUGAAAUCCAAAGAUAGAUGGAAUAGGAUUUUUUUUUUCCUUUCCCUCUUUUUCCUUUCUUUCUUCUUUUCUUCAAGGCAAAGUUGCACUUAAAACAACACCUUGAUUUGCUUACUGAUUAAGGAAGGUCAUAUUACAUAGAGCAGCUCCAUCGCUACUUGAUAAUAUGUGUGGGAUUGGAACCAUGAAGUGGUAUGUCAUACUCCAGAAUCUGCUAUAAUUUGGAUAGACUUGCUUAAGUCACUUAGGUCAUUUUUGGAUUGGUUUUUGGUGAGUCAAAAGUUCUUUAAGUCCAAAAAACACUUCUUAUAAAGCCAUUCUUUCAAGCUUAUAUUGUACGCUAUUUUAUUUUUAAUGAAACUUUCAUGAUUCCAAGAUUGCCAUCUUAAAAUCACGGGUUCAGCAUCUUGCUAAAGCUAAAGCAAGAAACUAUCCCAACGAGGCCUUAGAUAGAUACUAUAUGUCAUAAGCUUCAUUUGAAUAAUAGAAUGUCUUCUUUUCAAUAUUGAAGGAUAAUGGAUAAAGAUUAUAUUUGAAUUGCAAGUUUAUUUUAAUUAGAAGCUUGAGAGCUAAUAGCAUCUGGCACUCCUAGGAGGGCAUCACAAUGAAAGGAGUCCAAAGGAAUUAAAGAUAAAUUUAGAUAGAACCUAGGAUAGCGUCGCAAUGAUCGGAGUCCAAUGGAACUAAAGAUAAAGUGAGAUAGAACCCAAGAUGGUGUCACAAAGAUGGAAAUUCAAAGGAACUAAUUGAGCAAUGAUCUUAUUGAGGCUUGUGAUAGAACUAAACAUUUUAGAAAAUUGAAAGUGUAUGUGAAAACUACAGUUUUCAACUUUUCUUUUUCUUAAUUUCUUUGCAUGUUUGCACAUUUACAUCGUUCCCAAUAUUUGUUAUGCUGAAGCUGAAGAACUAAACCUCAUGUGGGCAUAUAGCACCAUUAUUCUCCUUAUUUCCAUCAAGACAACCCACAUCUUAAAUUGCAGUUUAUUUUAAUUGUGUUGGGAAUAAAUUCAAACUAUUUGUUAUUUUUGUUCUAUCUUUCAGUUAAUCAAUCCUGCUGAAACUUUUGGUGACAUUGUCAUUGAUUAUCCGUAAGAUUUUAAGCACUCUUCAGUUUCUAAUGUUUAUGUAUAAUUCUAGAUUGUUUUCACCUAUCUGGAAAAAAAAAGAAAAAAAAAAGAGUUGGGUUGUUGGGGGAAAGGGGUGGGUGGUGUUGUGGGUUGUCUUGUAGUUUGAUUUGAUGGAGAAAAUCUUAUAUGCUGUUACCUGGGUGGCACUGCAGAUAUGUGGAAUGUACCUCAUCUGCAAUUCAAGCAUUGACAUCGUUCAAGAAAUUAUAUCCUGAGCAUAGAAGGCAUGAAAUAGAAAAUUGUAUUUCUAAGGCUGCCAUGUUCAUUGAAGACAUACAGGCUCCUGAUGGCUCUUGGUUUGUUUUUAUUUAUUUAAUUAAUUAUUUUUGCAUCUAUGCACAAGCCCUUGAAAUUGUUCUUUUGCUAUAGCUGCAUGCUCUUGCUAUUUUGUUAUAUCAAUCUCUCAGCUUAAUGUAGGCAGUACCUAAGAUUUGUAGGGGUUAUAGGGCAGUCAUUACGUGUAUGCAAUUGAUUUUGAGUAUUUUUGACAGGCCUGGGGAGUCUGUUUCACUUAUGGUGGGUGGUUUGGAAUAAAGGGAUUGAUAGCUGCUGGAAACACAUACAAUAAUUGCCCCUGCAUUCGUAAGGCUUGUGAUUAUCUGCUGUCCAAGGAGCUUGCUUCAGGUGGUUGGGGGGAGAGUUAUCUGUCAUGCCCGAAUAAGGUUUUGAUUUCCAUUCUAUGUGGAAUUUCUUUCCUUUAUAGUUCUAGUGUGCCUCAUGAUGUUUGUUCUUAAUAAAUGCUCCUUAUAAAUCUGCAAAGUCGAGCUUUUAUGAAGAUUGCUAUCAUCUUUGUGGUAGCUCAUCAUAGAAUUUAUUGCAGAGCACAAAUAGAGCAUCUUCUUUGGAAUUAAGUAGAGUUUUUUUCCCAUAGAUCUUACUUGCAUUAAAUAACAAUAAGAACCUUGAUGUGUUUGGCUACAUUCUAACCAAUUUUAGGAAUAGACUAAUCCGAUUCACAUUCAUUUAUUAUCUCUGUUCAUCAUCUAUCUUAGAUACUAUUUAUAAUAAGUCGCAUCUUCUGCCUUGUAUGGUUGAUUAUUCUAAUGCCUCUUUCAACAGGUGUACACAAAUCUCCCUGGAGAUAAGCCACAUAAUUGCAAUACUGCUUGGGCUAUGUUGGCUCUCAUUGAUGCUGGACAGGUAAAGUUGGACACUAGUGGUGCUAUUUGAUGCUAAUUUAGUGUCCUCAAGGUUUUUUUUUAUAAUGUGUAGUUAAUUAAAGCUUCCUAUACCAUCUUUCUCUGUUUCUCCAUAUCUAGUAUGUUUGUUCUUUGUUGGUGAAAAGAAAAGAAUCAAUCUAAUAAGUUGGGGUUUUAGUUAGAAGUCUGGGGUAUUAUGAUAAUUUCAGUGGGAGAGGGUCUAAAAUAUCUAAAUAAUUUGAUUUAGCUCUUGGGCUAUGUUGUAGGGAUAAAUCAUUUCCCUCUUUCUAAUAAUUUCGAAUAUUUAUAUUUAAAGUUGGCUUCUGCGUUUGGUGUUUUGUGCACAAAGGCGGGCAUUUGGAUUUUUUUUCUUUUUGUUCACUGAUACAGAUUUUGUUGUGAUUUUCACCUAUAGAUGCAUACAUUUGUUCUGAAGAAAUAGUUGCACCAAAAAGAAAGUAGUAGUUAUUCUUUCAUUAGACAUUCUUUGCUCCCUUAUGGCCUCAUCUCUUGAGUUUCUCUUUCUUUUGCUUGCAUGUUCAUAGAAUGCUCCAAAAUUAUCCAAACUAGGUUAGUUCUUUUUCUAUUUUUUGUCACUCCAGAUCAUAAUCUUCUUCAAGCAAUUAUAUGUUCUUCUAGAUUUACACCAUAAAUCUUCUUCAAUCAUUCUAGUGAAACAUGAGAUAUUGUGAAAGUUCCCAUAAAUUGAUGAAAAUCAUUUUGUUUGUGAGGCAAGUGACUAAAAAAUGAGUUCCCUAUCAGAAAGUACCUUUGGGAGAUACGCAAGCAUGGGAAAUUACCAUAUUCCAAUGGUACCUCCUUUGUUUAAGGGAUAUGGGGGGUUUCUACGCCCCCUUUGUUUAUAUGUUAAGUCUGCUUUUCUGUUUUUCCAUGAUUGGAUAUGGUUUCAGGGCUUUGGUGAAUUCUUAAUUGUUUUUAACUUUAGACAAUUCGUUGCAUUACUUUCUAUUUUUUGUUGUUCUUUUCCUUUUGAAAGGCCGAGAGAGAUCCAAACCCACUACACCGUGCUGCAAGGUUAUUAAUAAAUUCCCAAAUGAAGAAUGGAGAUUUUCCUCAGGAGGUAACUCUUAUGACUUCCAUUUUUUUCUCGUAAUUUUUUAUUUUAUUUUAAAUUUUUUCUAUUGUAUGCAAAAACUACAAUUAGGUGGUCAUCUAAUGGUUGGUUCCCCUUGUAAGAAAUCAAAAUUAUUAAAAAUAGGAAGUUAAUUCAUGAUCCAUGCUUCUUCCCUGAUUUUCAAAAAAAUUUCCCUUUAUUUUCUGUAAUUUAUCUGCACACACCAAAUGCCUUUUCUCUGGCAUUCUUUUCUCUUUUUCAUGAAUAGGAAACAAGGUUCUGAAAACUACAUCCAAACAGGCCUUUGUCAUUCUGUUAAAGUUGUUUGGUAAAAGUUCAUGGAAUAAUUUAACGAUUGAUGGUAAUACUUCAAAGACAUUGUAACAGUAUCAGGCUUAUGAGCAUUUAAUCAACCUUUGUAGCUCUUGAAAACGUAUACCUUAAAGUUUUCUUUUUGACAUUUCUUCUCAAAUAUGAAAGACUUAUUAUGAGAAUCGUCAAGAAAACCCCAGGAAGGUCGAAAACAAAUGCUUGGAAUUUGGAUAAGAAAGUUGAUCUGCAACCCCAUAAAUAUUUUAGUAAUUUGUUUCAAUUAUAAAGAUUACAUGUCUGGUUAGAAAAUGAGUAUGCCUGUUGAUUCCCAUUGCAACAACUUUGCUGACUCCCAUGCCUGAAUAAGUUUAAUAGCUUCAACAUUUCUUCAUACAGGAAAUCAUGGGAGUCUUCAACAAGAACUGUAUGAAUAGUUAUUCUGCAUAUCGGAACAUUUUUCCUAUAUGGGCUCUUGGAGAAUACCGGUCUCGGGUACUUCAUUCUUCCUAAAAAUGUAAUUAUAACGUUCUAAAGAAUGAAAUGCAUGCUUGUCUACUGAGUGUAGCCCUUGUCCUGUUUAUAGCGAAUAAGGGUCUCGGGUGGGACUUUUCUACUUUGUGUUGCUUGAAUUUUCUGGGAAAAGAAACAUUAUUGGGUUUAAGAUAAUAUGUGGCCAUAGGGUCUAAGAUAAUCUGUAAGAAACCUAAGCUUAUCUUGAUUUUGAUCCUUGGAAAGGCAUGUACGCUGGGGAGGCCCUAGCUAUUAAAAUUUAUGUAAUUGACAAUCGUAGAAAGGGUUGUGUGUGUAGUUUGAGCCAAAAGAAUUUCAUAGGUCUAACAUGUAAAAAUCAUGCAUAGUUGAAAGGAAUUCGUUGCAUCUAUGAUGCUAGGAACUUUUCUUCCCAAUAUCAUGCAUAGAUAUUGUCUGUUUUGAAUUUGGAUUUUAAAAUGUGUUUGUAAAGAGGAAUUAUAUAUAUAUAGUAUCAAAAAUUUAUCUUUCUAGUCAAUGUGGGAUUUCAUAUUAAGCAGAAUUGAGGGUAUUGUUGAGUAAUGUUAACAUUGAUGGUAAUUCAAUGCUUAAAAAAUGAGUGUGUAUGCAAGUUUUACAUAGGUAUAGUGCACCAAGGCUUAACAAUAUUAGGCCAUAAGGCAUAGUUGAUGGGUAACAAAUGAAUACUUUCUUAUUACCCUUUGUCCAUCCUUAGGGAUGAAGGAGGUUAGGAGGUUAGAUUAAUUGAAAGACAGUUAUUAUUUUAAAAAUAAAAGUUAGGUCUACAUUUCAAGGUUGAGAAGAAAUAGAAAUAAAAUAUCUCGAGUCGAUGCUCAAGUACAGAAUACUAAUAUAACCUGUCACAUACUCUCAAGUAAUGCAAAUUAUUCAUGUGAUAAAAGUUAAUUUUUUUUUCUUUUUUUAAGUUAGAAAAAAUGUUUUUUAAAAAACAAGGCAUAAAACUUUUGGACAUAUCUGAAAAUUAGGGUUUGUGAGGAAGUAGGCAAAUUGGGAGCUUUUGUGCAGGAAAAAGGCAUUGGAUCCACUAUGUUUCGUCCCCAGCAGCCACGCCAUUUGAUUCUUGUGCCAGACGAGUGUUAUCAACAAAAUUUAUAAAACCUAAAUCACCUUACACUAGGGUAGCAUGGCUACUAUAGUAUAAUGGCUUUAUGAUCGUCCACAGGUAUGGGUUUUCUUCGUACAAGUGACUUUAGUGAAGGUAAUGAAAUGGUGCUUUUCCUUAUGAAAAUUAGCUUUUAAAGAAAAUGGAAUUGUGGUUGAAAAAGUUGAUUUUAAGUUAAGCAAAAAUAGCAAUUGAAGUCAACUACAAAGAGAAUGUUUCUUGGAGCUUUAGGUCACUAGGAUCGGGUUCCUUAGGCAAAGGGGGAGAUUUCGGAUCUUCUCCUCACAUUAGGGACAAUAACAUAAAGGAUGGUUAUCUCCCGAACCGGUUUUGUAUUUAGCAAUUAAGAUUUGAUCCAAAGGGUUCAUGAAACAUGGUAGUUGCUUCACAUUAAUGGCUACAAACACUAAAGACCCUCACCUUGAACCACCUUCCAAUGACUCAUAAUUGAUAACUAAUGAACAUCCAUGGAUCUAGCAAUAAGCAUCCAUAGAAUCCGAAAAGCUUACCAAAUAUUGGCCAUUCAAGGUGAUUCUCACCUUGAACCACCUUCUAGUGGCUCGUACUUGAUAACUAAUGGACAUCCAUGGAUCUAGCAAUAAGCAUCCAUGGAAUCCGGAAAGCUUACCAAGUAUUGGCCAUUCAAGGUGAUUCUAAAGGAUUUAAAGUUAAACCUUGAAAUAAAAACCAUUAAGGGUUAACAACUACCUUCAUUUAAAGCAAGGAAAACUCCUACCUUUGCAUUUGGGUCCUUCACCUAGUUUCCAUCACUCCUAGAAACGUAAAACUUAGCCACUCAUCCCCUGAGAAAUCAUCCUCAGAGGUUGUUUGGCUAGAAAGAAAAAUGAAAACAAAAAUGAGAAGGAAAGGCAGAGCAAGGGCUUUGUAUAUUUCUUCCUACAGGAAUUACAAGUGUCGUCGUUUAAGAUUUUACAAAAAGAUAUAUUUAUAUAUAUAUAUAGAGAGAGAGAAAGAGAGAGAGAGAGAGGUCUUUACAACCCCCCUUUAUAGUUCCUAACCAAGAAAUCCUAUCAUUGGUUCAUUACAAGGAGAAAAUAGUAAUUUACACAAAAAUCUGGAGAUAAAAAUCUAAUGGAGUCGGUGCACAGGAAGAUUUCGCAGACCAUGCGAAAUUUCUCAUGGUGUGGUUUCAUAGGGCAUGCGAAAUUUCGCACAAUGUGCGAAAUUGUCCUUCACUCAGUCCUGCAGCUACUCCUCCUCUUGAUUUCACAUAGACAUGCGAAAUUGCUACAUGUUGGAUUUUUUCCUCUGAUUUUCUUCCUUGCAUCUCUGAUUGGCUUGACAACCUAUUGCCAAGCUUGGCAAAAGGCUAUGAAGUGCUCCAAAACUCGGAUUCUUCAUGUAUUUGAGCUUCAACUUGCAUUGCCAUGGAUUACACAAAAUUCUCCCUCAUUCUUUGCUUGUUUCAAUGAUAAAAAAGCUACAAAAAACACUAAAACUAGCCAAAAACUUAUUAGUAACCCUUGCUAGGUUCCUUAAUGUGCCAAUUGAGUUAAAAAGUAUUAACUACUACUCAAAAGUGUUUAAAAUAGUUAAUUUCAAGCUAUAAAAGAGCACUUUUUGAGUAGUAAUCACUCCCCCCAACCGACACAUUGCUAGUCCCCUAGCAAUGAAGGAGAGAUAAAGAAAAAUAGACAGUAAAAUAAUUUACAAAAUCAUGUUAAUCACUCAAAAAAAUUUUCAAGUGGCAUGAUGCGGAUCAUACUCUCUCAUGGAACAUCAAAGAGGCAAAACUCAACCUUCAACAAGAGUCAUCAAAUAUCUUGCUUAAUCACAAUUUAUAAAAAGUAGGCAUUACGCAAAUUUAAGCAUCAAAAGAAUUUCCACUCCCAAAGGUCCAAUCCUUACUCUUCCACAAAAAUCUAGGUGUUAAGCUUAUUAGUUUCCGAUUAUAGUGUGUUGAACUAUUCGCUCCCCCCAACCUAGUUCUUUCUCAAACCUUAGCAAACUGACCAACCUCCAAUAGGCUAAGAACGAACCUAUUUUAUUUCACAAUUUUUUUUAUUGUAGGAGUGCAAUGCUAAAGGUAUUGUUUUCUAAAGUGUCCAUGUAACGGGGAUCCAUCAAUGACUCCCAACCAAUCAAGGUUUAGGGUAUCAAGCUUUAAGGAUCUUUCGACCACUAACCCCUCAGAUUUCACCCUGGAUUUUUUAGAUUGAAAUUCAAUACCCAAGCACCUAUAAUAUGUUAAACUCUACCUAUUCACCCUUGUAACGAGCAUUGAAACCGGUGACUCCCAACCAAUAAAGGCUUAAGGCACCGGGUUUUAAAGACUUUCACCGCAUACCCCUCGGUCCUUGCUCGGGUUUCAAGGCAAGUGAAACACUUUGUUUUUUUUUUUUUUCUUUUUGUGAAGGCUUAUUGGCCUUUUAUAAGGUGUCCCAACACUAUUAAAACAAGGUCAAAGGUACCAAGUCGAAAUUUUUCUAAGUUCAGGGGGUGAGAUAGUUUUUCAUCUUAUAACCGAAACCUAAUGUGCACAGUGUGUGGUAAGAUUAAAGUGGAAGAAAUAAGGUUGAAUUCAAUAGGAGUUUCAAUAAUUCAUCAACCUCAAUAAGCAUAAUACAAACUCUAAGAUUCAAGUAAAAAGACAAGAACUCGAUUUCUCCCAUUUCAUUUUGAGAAUUUUUCCUUAAUAACCAUGGAAAGUAGAGUAAAAACUUUUAAAAUUAAGCAAAAAGUAACUAAAUUAACAAAUUAACCUAGCAUUAUUAACAAUACUUCCUUCCUCAACUCUCCCCCCAACCAAGAUCAACAUUGCCCUCAAUGUGUCAAGAGCAAUUGAAAAUAAAGGGAGAAAGUGGUACCUCCUAAGUGAAAUGGAGUUUGAGUCGUAUAUGAGAAACCACAUGAGUCAAAAAACAAAAGAGUAAUGAGUAGAGGAAAUUGAAAAAAUGCCAAGUAAUAUAAAAAAGGAUGUCUAUAUAUUAAUUUGAGAAAGUAUAAUAUGAGAUAUCAUCAGGUAAUACAUCAAAUCCCAUAAUAUAAAGCAUCAAAACAAGGAACAAUCUCGACUAAUAUAAUAUGUAAAUAUAAUAAGAUAAAGAGAUGUCCUAUGAUUAAGUAGUAGGAGCCUCAGGUGGAGAUGAUGUAUCAUUAGGUGUAGCUAUGACUGUGUCAACUGUCUGAGGCUCAUCUUGAGGAUCAACUAAAGCAAUGACAUCUAUGGUGGCCUCCUGAGGUGGCGGGAUCUGGACCUUUGUUGUGGUAGUGUCCUCGACUGGAAUAGUAUCCUCAACUGGAGCUAAAGGCUCUAAUGAUGCAGGAAGGUCAGGCUGAGGUGGAGGCAGAAGACCCAGGUGCUGCUGGAUCUGGCAAAGUAUAGCAGUCUGCUGGUUCUGCUGGGAACCCAUCUCAGCCAUCUGCUGGAAGAGAGCGGUGUGUGUGGUAGAUAGUGUCUACAAGGUAGCUACAAUGCCGCGAAACUUCGAAGCAGAGAUAGUGAUGGAAGGCUCGGAUGUAGUAAGAGUAACAGGUGGAACAGUAGGAGUCAUAGGGGGCGCAGCAGAAACAACCUCAGGCAUGGGCACUGGUGGUGCUGAAGUAAGUGAUGCAGGGGUAGACUAUACUGAGGCUCUGUCAAAAGCUCGCCCUACUCUGUAGAUACUGGAGUAGACUAUGCCUGCUUCGUCUGUGGGGACUCUGGAGGUGCUACCAUGGGAUGGGCUCCUGGAGAUGCAAAAUAGCCCGCCAACUGAUUCUAUUUGUCAAGAGUGAAUCGCUCUCGACAAAUGCGGCGUCGCUCGUGCUGAGGCUCAAUAGGAAAACCCAUAUGCUUUAAGAUCUAGCAAAGCAACCUCGAGAAUAGCAAUGGAAUGGUGUCCGCCCUCUAAAGCUUCUUCCUAUGAACCUUCUCCUCAAAGUGGACAAGGGAGGCCAUGAUCAAGUGGUGCGGGCCAAAGUAGAAGCCCUCUGAUAUGCGGAACAAAGCAUCCAAGAUAGCUCAUCGCCUCCGUACCGAAUGCUAUAGGGGAAAGAGUUUGGAGUGUAACAUCACAUCUACGAGGAGCAUCCUAGGUGGAAGCUCCUGUCGAAGAAGGAUUGAAUCUGUAAAGGUCCCCCUGGAUAAAAUGCGAACCAUGUCCCUUUGAGAUAUUAGGGACCACUGGCGGAAAACAAAGGGAUCAACUCGCUCGAAAGGAAUCUGUAGAGCCUUUGCAAUAUUUUUUGCCUUGAGGAUACCAUGAUGUCCAUCAAUGGUGAAGUGAAUCGAGGUAGGACUUGGGACGCCACAAGUAGUCAUGGACUGGUAAAAGUCUAAUGCUACUCUGGGAUAAAAGAACUCACGAGGAGUCAUAAGCUGCUCAAGAUAGUACCUCUGCAGUAGGCCAUAAGAGUCUCGAAGCUCAAGCUUCUGUCGAAAGGCCUCCUGAUCAAAAUAGAACUCCGAGUGGAAAUGUCUCAAUUUGUAAUCUGAGUUGCCCUCAAUGGGCGGUGCUGUGAGCAUCGGGUGUCUAAUAAUAGACCCCGGUGACAUGUUAGAAGGAAGCUCAAAAUCUGCAGGAGCUCGAGCAUGUGUAGCUACAAGAGGCUUAGGAUGUGGAGCUCUGGAUGACUCGCCUGGGUCUGAAGUCCUGGCUCUCUUGGCAAGAGGGCGCCGCACUAAACUCUGAGGACGCAAAGCAGUCGCCCUUUGUGUAGUAGGUGGUCUCCUAGUCUCAUACCUACGCUGAGAAGCAGAAGAGGAGGGACUAGUGGGCGCCCCACCCUCAGAAGGGGGAAUCUACGGGGCCUCUAUGGUGGCAAAUCAUGAGGUACCCGAGCAGAGAAGGCUCUCUGCCUCGGAGUGCGACUCUACAAAUGGGCAGCAAGGGCCCCUUGAGUCCUUUCCAUAUGGAAAUGGAGAAAUAGGCCUUUAGUCCAUGCUCGAAGGGGGGUGUCGAAUGGGAGAGGGAUGAAGGAGUGAGAUGCGAGGAGGAGGGGCGUGUGAACAGAGGGUGGAACCAGACAAAGGCACAGGGUGACACUGUGAAGAGGCCGUAAGAUGGCAAAGAGAUUCGCAAUGGGAGGGUGCUUGCGAAAUGGGAGAGUUAGGGUUCGGGAGUUAUUUAAAAAUAAAUUCGCAAAGGCAUUUCGCAGACCAUGCGAAAUUCCGCACAGUGUUGGGUGUGCGAAAUGGGUUCGCAGACCCCUUAUAUUUGUGCACAAUGUACGAACUGGUGUUGGGUGUGUGGAAUGGAAUUAAAGGGCUCAAAACGGGCAGUAGCUGACCUUACUUUGAGAAGGGUUUUUCAUACCCUGCGAAAUUUUUGCAAGGGUGCGUGAAAUGCCUUGGUGAAUUUUUUUCUUCAGGGUUUUUCCUCUGCCAAGAAUCUUUAAGGACAUGCCCAUCUGCUUUGAAGUCCCCUCUGAAAUUGAUCAUCAAAAACCUAAGUUAAAUCAAACCAAAAUGAAAUUAAAGCGAGAAAUCAAAAUCAAAACAAGUAACGAAACAAGAAAACUCUCAAAUAAAAAAUAAAACAAAAAGAUAUGGACUUGAUAGUCUUUAGAAAGGCUAAGUCCAUUCAAAAACCAGUCUUGUCAAGCUUGAUGUGGAUCAAGGAGGAUGAAUUCCUCCUUGUUACAAGAAAAAGGCUCCACAAAGGGCUUGAGAUGGUGGCCAUUCACUUUGAAGCUACUAGUGCUGUUGGAGUUGUGGAGUUCCACUACUCCAUUUGAAUGCACUUGGUGAAUGGUAAAAGGACCUAUCCACCUUGAUUUCAGCUUGCCCGGAAAGAUGUGGAGCUUAGAGUCAUAAAGCAAGACUCUUUGUCCCUUUUGAAAAUUUUUGCGGGAAACCAACUGAUCAUGUCACCUCUUCAAUCUCUUUUUUGCAAUUUUUGAAUUGAUGUAGGCAUCAUUUCUCAGUUCCUCCAACUUAUUGAGGUCUAAGAACCUCUUCAUCCCAGCUCUGCUCAAAUCCAUGUUGAGCUUCUUGAUUGCCCACCAAACCUUGUAUUCCAAUUCCACAGGGAGAUGGCAUGUUUUGCCAUAGACUAGGUGAUUCGUGCCUACUUGGUGUAUCAGCUGAUUCAUUUCCAACUGGUGCUCCUUGAUUGAGGGAGUAAUCAACAAAAUUUAUAACCUAUUACACCAUGAACUAGGGUAGCAAAGACAAAGCUACUAUAGCAUAGUGGCUCUAGGAUCGUUCACUGGGAUGAGUUUUCACUUCACAAUUGAUAUUAAUUCAAAGCUGAAUUGGUGCCUUUUCAUUUCAAGGUUAGCUUUAAAAGAAAACAUAAACUUUAGUUGAGAAAGGUUUGGUUUUAAACUAACAAAAAAUAAUAACUAAUUUUAAUUAUAAAGAAAAGUGUUUCUUGGAGUUUAGAUCACUAGGCUCAGAUUCCUUGUACAAAAAGGGAGUUCCGGUCACUUGUUUCUUUUCCUCGCAUUGGGGAUUUAACAUAUAGUUAUUUCCCGAACUGGUUUUGUACAGAUGCUUCCCAUUAAUGGGUUCAAACACUAAAUCCCUCUCACUGAUGCACCUUGCAAUGGCUCAUACCUCUCACCUAGCACUUGCCAUUCAAGGUGAUCUUUAACCUUGGAUUAACCCUCAAAAGCUCGCAAGAGAUAACUAAUGGAUGUCUCCUUGGAGUUCAAAAGCUUACCAAGUGUUGGCUAUUCUAGAAAAUCCUACCUUCAAACCACCUCCCAAAGGCUCGUAAGAGAUAAACUAGUGCAUCUCUAUGGAUGGAGAUCACUUGCCUUACCAAGUGUUGGCCCAGGUGAUUUAAAGGCGUUUUAAGUUAACUAAAAAGAUAAAAACCAUUAACGAGUCACACUUUCUCUUCAUUAAAAACUAAAACAACAAAACUUCCAAUUUAUGCAUGAGGAAAUUUACCCGGCUUUCUUCACUCCAAGAGACGAAGAGCCUAGCCUCUCAUCCUCUGAGGAAAAAUCCUCAGAGUUUGAUUGGCUAGAAAGUAAAAUAACAAGAAAACAAAAAUAUAUAAGAAAAGCAGAGCAAGUGCUCUGUAUUUUACUUCCUUACAAAACUGUACAAAUGAUUGAUCGUCGAGAACAAGCUCCUGAGAUUUCCUACAUAUUUUAUGUAAAGAAAAUUACAAACUAUAUAUAAGGGGUUAUUCACCCUUUGUUCUUACUUAAAGACUAAGGAAUCCUAUGAUUGGUGGGUUACAAGGAGAUUUUAGGGAUUUAGACAACAAAUAUCUAAAGCAACAUAUCUCAAAAUAUCCCAAAAUGUUGGUCGCAAAUAUCUGGAAGCUUCAAGAGAACACCGUGGCACUGUGCAGAAAUAUAUCUCAAAAUGUCAGUCGGACAUAUUGGGAAGCUUCAGGAGAACAUCGUGGCAUUGUGCAAAAUGGUUGCGAAACUCUCCGGAUAAGCGCUAUCAGAGGAUUUGGAUAUGUCUGACCGGGGAAGUUGAAACACUCUCCUCUCCCAUCCGGCGUCAGGCGCCGGAUGCGAAAUAUCCGAAGAAGGUGUGUGCCGAAUGUGAGACAUCCGGGUGGAAUGGCGGUGGAGCAGAAUUCCGGAUGUGAGACAUCCGGGUAGAAUGGCGGCGGAGCAGAAUUCAGGAUGUGAGACAUCCGGGUGGAAUGGCGAUGGAGCAGAAUAUUGGAUGUGAGACAUCCGGGUGGAAUGUCGAAGGAGCAACUCCAUCUGGAUUCCCCAAGAGGAAAUGUGGUGCGUUACCCUAUCCGGAGCAACUCCAUCCAGAUUCCGGAUUUGCUUAUGAAAAAGGAGUUCAAAGCUUCGGUUCUUCAUGUUUCUGAGCUUUCCAUUGCUUUGCCAUGGAUUCCAAAGAACUCUCCUCAAUCUCAGAUUGCUUUGGUGAUCAAAAAGCUAUCAAAACACCAAAACUUAACACAAUUUGAUUAGAAUUGAUUGCAAGGGUCCUUAAUAUGUUAAUUGGGUUAAAAGGUGAUAACUACUACUCAAAAGUGUUUAAAAGAGUUAAUUACAAGCUAUGAAAUAGCACUUUUUGAAUAGUAAUCACUCCCCCCAACCGACAUAUUGCUAGUCCCUUAGCAAUGAAGGAGAGAAAAAUAAAAAUAAAAAGUACUAUAAUUUACAACAUCAUGCUAAUCAAAAAACAAUUUCCAAGUGGCAUGAUGAUCUAACUCUCACAUGGAACAUUAAAGAAAUAUAAACUCAAAUUUCAAAAAAAGUUAUUAAAUAAUUUGUCUAAUCACAAUUCUUAAAGAGAAGGCAUUAUGCAAAUUUAAGCUUUAAAAGAGUUUCCACUCCCAAAGGGUCAAACCUUACUCUUCCACAAAAAUCUAAGUGUUACUUAUUAGCUUCCGAAUAUAGUAUGUUGAACUAAUCUCUCCCCCCCAACCUAGUUCUUUUUCAAAGCUUAGCAAACUGGUCAACCUCCAAUAGGCUAAGAACGCACCUCUUUGUUCACAAAAUUUUUUUUCAUUGUAGGAGUACAAGGCUUAAAGGUAUUUUUUCUAAAUUGUCCAUGAACGGGGGUCCGUCGAUGACUCCCAACCAAUUAAGGUUUAGGGCAUCAAGCUUUAAGGAUCUUUCAACCACUAACUCCUUGGAUUUUACCCCGGACUUUUGAGAAUGAAAUUUUAAUACCCAAGCACCUACAGUAUGUUAAACUCCACCUAUUCACCCUUGUAACGAGCAUUGAGGUCGGUGACUCCCAACCAAUUAAGGCUUAGGGCACCAGGUUUUAAAGAUUUUCACCAUAUACCCCUCGGACCUUACUCGGGUUUCAAGGCAAACAAACAUUUUUCCUUUUUUUUUUCAAAGGCUCAUUAGCCUUUUAUAAGGUGUCCCAACACUAUUAAAUGAGGUCAAAGGUACCAAGUCUAAAUUUUCCUAAGUCAAGAGGGAAAUAGUUUUUCAUCUUAUAAUCAGAACCUAUUGUGCACAGUGUGUGAAUAGCUUAAAGUGGAAGAACUAAAGUUGAAUUCAAUAGAAGCUCAACAAUUCAUCAACUUUAGUAAGCAUAAUACAAACUCUAAGUCAAGUAAAAAGACAAAAAUUCAAUUUCUCUCUUUUCAUUUUGAAAAUUUUUCCUUAAUAACCAUGGAGAGUAGAAUAAAAACUUUAAAAAAUUUUAAAAUUAAGCAAAAAGCAACUAAAUUACCAAAAUAACCUAGCAUUAAUAACAAAAACUUCCUUCCUCAACUCUCCCCCUAACCAAGCUGAACAUUGUCCUCAAUGUGACAAAAGCGAUUGAAAAAUAGGGAGGAAGUGGUACCUCCUGAGUGACAUGGAGUUUGAGUUGUAUAGGAGAAACCACAUGUUUCAAAAAAAACAAAAGAGUUAGUGAGUAGAGGAAAUAGAAAAAUGCCAAGUUUAAACAAAAAUGAUGUCUAUAUAUGAUGUAUCAUUAGUAAUACAUCCAAUCCUAGAAUGUAUAAUAUCAACUAAUAUACUAAGUAAAUACAAUAUAAAGAAAUGAUCAAGGAGCGGGGUCCUCUGGUGGACAUAAUGGCUCUGGUGCUGUCUCGUGAGUGGCCUGAGGUGGGACAUCAACAUGAUGGUCUCCGCAGGUGGAAUCGUCUCCUCAGUUGGAACUCUCGGCUCUGAUGGCCUAGGAAUAUCAGUCUGAAGUGGAGCAAGGCCUAGAUGCUACUGUAUCUGACGAAGGAUAGCAGUAUGUUGGUCAAGGAUAAUAGAAUGUUGAUCCUGCUGAUCUCGGAUGUCUCUCAUUUUCUGAAAUAGAGCGUCGUGUGUGGUGUUGAGUGUUCUGAAUAAUAAUACCAUGCCACAAAACUCUAAGCCAGAAAUGGUGAUAAAGUCCUAUGAUGGAGGAGGUACAACUGAUGGAACAGGUGGUGUAGUUGGAGGAUCAAUAGAGGCGGUCUAAGGCAUAGAUGGUGCAGCAGGGGUGGAUGAAAUAGACUCUGUGGGAUGCUCGUCCUGUUGUGUCUGGUCAGGCUGUGCUGGUACUAGAGGUACUGGCCUGGGUGGGGCUGCUUCGACUGAAUUCCUCUCUACUAACUGUGUCCAUUGGUCGAGAGUGAAAUGCUCUCGGCAAUGGUGGCGGCGCUCGAGAUGGGGCUCAGUAGGGUAGUCUAUAUGCUCCAAGACAUGGCAGAAAAGCCUCGGAAAUAGUAAUGGAAUCGCGUCAGCUCGUUGUAGCUUCUUCCUAUGCACUUUCUCCUCGAAGUAUAGGAGAGCGUCCAUGAUUAGAUGGUGUGGACCAAAAUAGAAACCCAUAUAUAUCCUGUAUAAUGCAUCCAAAAUAGGUCCUCGCCUCUGCACUAAAUGCUGGAGAGGAAAAAUGUUGGACCUCAACAAUACAUCUACUAGGAGCAUCUCAGAUGGAAGCUCCUUACGUAGUAGGCAUGUAUCUCCAGAAGUCCCUCGUGAUAGAAUGCGAACCAUGUUCCCUUGAGAUGUGGAGAUCCAUUGUCUGAACUGCUUUGGAUCCUCUGGCUGAAAUGGAAUGUGGAGAGCCUCAGCAAUAUGCCUAGCCUCUAAGAUACCCUGACGUUCGUCUAUAUUGAAACGAAUGGCUAUAGAACCCUGGACGUCCUAAGUAGUCAUAGACUGAUAGAAAUCCAUCGCUACUCUAGGGUAGAAAAACUCUCUAGGAGUCAUCAGACACUCGAGAUGGUACCUCUGGAGCAAUCCCAACGAAUCUCAAAGGUCUGGCUCCUGUCUCAUAGCCUCUAUCUCGAAGUAGAGCUCAGAGUGAAAUGGUUUGGCUCUACAAUCCAAAUUACCAGGAAUGGGAGGCGCGGUAACCAUUGGUCUCUUGAUGAUGUCUUUAGGAGCAGUGCCUGAAGAUCUCUGAAUAUCCUCUAGGGCCUAAGCAUUGGCUGGAGCCUGACUAGAUGUCUCUCUAGGGCCCGAGGUUCUGGCUCUCUUUGGUAGACCACGGGGUACUGAUGGCUCUGGGGGUGGAGAAAUUGGUGGUCUCUGUGUCGAAUAUCGGCGCUGAGGAGGGCUAGAAGGCACCCCACUCUUAGGAGAUGGUAUGGUCAGGGCCUGAGAGGCCUGAGAUGGAUCCUAAGGAGUUGAGGCGCUUGGCUUGGCCUCGCGAGAUGCAGACGGAUCUAUAUGGCCCCCUCUGGUGUACACCAUAGCUGCUAUGGACGAGAUGUGUAUUGCUUUGGUUCUCCUUGGUUGCCAUGGUGCGUGGAUUGGUGAGGAUUUUUCUUCUCAAGGCGGCAGUAAGCUCUUGGCAACAGAGGACGCUUGUGCCAAAUGGUGAGCUAGAGGCCUUUAAAUAGAAAAUUCAAAUGACUUUUGGCUUACCUCUUGGCCGUUAAUUGACCAUUGGCGUUUCGCAGACGUUUUGCAUGUAAAAAAAAAAAAAAAAAAAAAAUCAUGGCUGGUGCGAAAUGCUCUGUUUUCCUCUGUUUUUGGCUUCCCCUGUGUUGAUUAUCAUAAAACCUAAGUUAAAUCAAACCAAAAUAAAAUUAAAGCAAGAAAUCAAAAUCAAAACAAGUUUAAAAAUAAAACAAAAAGAUAUGGACUAGCUAGUCUUUAGAAAGACUAAGUCCAUAAAAAAAAAAACUGGUCCUGUUUCAGCUUGUCUUCUACCCGGUAUGCAUAUUUCAUCUUUGGAGGUAGCGGGUUAAGAAUAAGCUUUGGGGGCUCCUCCUUCGCAUGUCUCUGUAUCUCCACCGCAUUCAGUAAGGGCUGCAUUUCUUUUGUUCUCGUCCAAUGGAAUAGAUUAGCAAGCUUCUCUGAGGGUUCAGGUAACCCUUCAUCAUGCUUUGGCUUAAAUGUGGGCUGAUCAACCAUAACUACUUUGACUUUCCUCACCAUUGAAUUUUCUUCCUUUUGGGCCUCCCCUUUAUGGAUACCCUUGAGAUUUUGAUAUGGUUGAGAAGGAAAGUUUUCUUUUUCUCGCUCCAUGUUGAGGUGGAUAAGCCUUGAGCUUGAGUAUUCGAGAUUGUCUGUCUUCUGAGACAGAUCAUUCAACCUCCCAUCCAUCUUUCUGUCUUGGUUGUCAAUUUCUUGCCUGACUUGAGUAUUUUUUUUUUCUCAAUUGAUCAAUGAUGGAUUUCUGGUAUGCUACAAAGUCUCCCACAACCUUGGUAAGGUUCACAAUUGCUUGUUCAAGUUUCAAGGCUUGAUGUGGUGCUUGAGCGGGUUGCGUGUACUGAUGUGGUUGUGGUUCCCAAAAGAAAUUUGGAUGAUUCCUACAAUUUGAAUUGUAGGUGUUAUAAUCACCAAAUAUCUCUCUCGCCACUGGAAAUAUAGGACACUCCACCACCAAGUGCUCAAAAGAUUGAUAAAUGCCACAUGGCAUACCAAACAUCUCCCUCGCCACUGGAAGGAUAGGACACUCCUCCACCAAGUGCUCAAAAGAUUGACAAAUGGCACACGACAUAGCUUGCACUAGUGUUUUAGAAAUGGCAUGCACUUCUCGUAUCCAACAGGGCAUGCACAACUAAUAUCAACUAUAAUUAAAAAAAAAAACAAAAACAGAGGAAAACAAAAACAAAGCUACCAAAAAGAGUUCGAUUAACUAAAACUAAAUUAAAAGCUAUACUAGAAUAUAAACGAGUAAAGGAAAACAAACUAAAAGAAUUAGUAAAAUGACAGAAAACUCACCAAACUUGUGAUGAAAACCACAAGUACACUGAAAUAAUAUCACUAUGAAGUUGGCACCUUCCCCGGCAAUGGCGCCAUUUGAUUCGUUCCCAGCUGUAAAAUGGCAUGAUCCCUGGCGGUGGCGCCAUUUGAUUUGUCCCUGGCAACGGCGCCAUUUGAUUCGUUCCCAACUGUAAAGUGGCACGAUCCUUGGCGGCGGCGCCAUUUGAUUUAUCCCCGGCAACGACGCCAUUUGAUUCGUGCCUACUUGGUGUAUCAACUGAUUCAUGUCCAGCUGGUGCUCCUUGAUUGAGGGAGUAAUCAACAAAAUUUAUAACCUAUUACACCAUGAACUAAGGUAGCAAAGACAAAGCUACUAUAGCAUAGUGGCUCUAGGAUCGUUCAGUGGGAUGGGUUUUCACUUCACAAUUGAUAUUAAUUCAAAGCUAAAUUGGUGCCUUUUCAUUUCAAGGUUAGCUUUAAAAGAAAACAUAAAAUUUAGUUGAAAAAGGUUUGGUUUUAAACUAACAAAAAAUAAUAACUAAUUUUAAUUAUAAAGAAAAGUGGUUCUUGGAGUUUAGAUCACUAGGCUCAGAUUCCUUGUACAAAAAGGGAGUUUUGGUCACUUGUUUCUUUUCCUCGCAUUAGGGAUUUAACAUAUAGUUAUUUCCCGAACUGGUUUUGUACAGAUGCUUCCCAUUAAUGGGUUCAAACACUAAAUCCCUCUCACUGAUGCACCUUGCAAUGGCUCAUACCUCUCACCUAGCACUUGCCAUUCAAGGUGAUCUUUAACCUUGGAUUAACCGUCAAAAGCUCGCAAGAGAUAACUAAUGGAUGUCUCCUUGGAGUCCAAAAGCUUACCAAGUGUUGGCUAUUCUAGAAAAUCCUACCUUCAAACCACCUCCCAAAGGCUCGCAAGAGAUAAACUAGUGCAUCUCUAUGGAUGGAGAUCACUUGCCUUACCAAGUGUUGGCCCAGGUGAUUUAAAGGCGUUUUAAGUUAACUAAAAAGAUAAAAACCAUUAACGAGUCACACUUUCUCUUCAUUAAAAACUAAAACAAUAAAACUUCCAGUUUAUGCAUGAGGAAAUUUACCCGGCUUUCUUCACUCCAAGAGACGAAGAGCCUAGCCUCUCAUCCUCUGAGGAAAAAUCCUCAGAGUUUGAUUGGCUAGAAAGUAAAAUAACAAGAAAACAAAAAUAUAUAAGAAAAACAGAGCAAGUGCUCUGUAUUUUACUUCCUUGCAAAAUUGUACAAAGGAUUGAUCGUCGAGAACAAGGUCCCAAGAUUUCCUACAUAUUUUAUGUAAAGAAAAUUACAAACUAUAUAUAAGGGGUUAUUCACCCUUUGUUCUUACUUAAAGACUAAGGAAUCCUAUGAUUGGUGGGUUACAAGGAGAUUUUAGGGAUUUAGACAACAAAUAUCUAAAGCAACAUAUCUCAAAAUAUCCCAAAAUGUCGGUCGCAAAUAUCUGGAAGCUUCAGGAGAACACCGCGGCACUAUGCAGAAAAAUAUCUCAAAAUGUCGCUCGGACAUAUCAGGAAGCUUCAGGAGAACACCGUGGAACUAUGCAAAAUGGCUGCGAAACUCUCCGGAUAAGUGCUAUCAGAGGAUCCGGAUAUGUCUGACCGGGGAAGUUGAAACGCUCUCCUCUCCCAUCUGGCGUCAGGCACCGGAUGCGAAAUAUCCGGAGAAGGUGUGUGCUGGAUGUGAGACAUCCGGGUGGAAUGGCGGCGGAGCAGAAUUCCGGAUGUGAGACAUCCGGGUGGAAUGGCGGCGGAGCAGAAUUCCAGAUGUGAGACAUCUCGGUGGAAUGUCGGUGGAGCAACUCCAUCCGGAUUCCCCAAGAGGAAAUGUGGUGCGCUACCCUAUCUGGAGCAACUCCAUCCGGAUUCAGGAUUUGCUUAUGGCAAAGGACUUCAAAGCUUCGGUUCUUCAUGUUUCUGAGCUUUCCAUUGCUUUGCCAUGGAUUCCAAAGAACUCUCCUCAAUCUCGGAUUACUUUGGUGAUCAAAAAGCUAUCAAAACACCAAAACUUAACACAAUUUGAUUAGAAUUGAUUGCAAUGGUCCUUAAUAUACUAAUUGGGUUAAAAGGUGAUAACUACUACUCAAAAGUGUUUAAAAGAGUUAAUUACAAGCUAUGAAAUAGCACUUUUUGAGUAGUAAUCACUAGGCAAUAAGGAGACAUCCCAAUAAUGGUCUUGUAAGCUGUUCUAUAAGCCCAUAGUGAAUCAAGGAGCUUGACAGACCAAUCUUUUUUGUUCGUGUUCACCACCUUCAUCAAUAUGUUUUUAAUCUCCUGGUUUGCUAACUCAACUUGCUCACUAGUUUGAGGGUGGUAAGGUGUAGCUACCUUAUGCUUCACCCCAUACUUUGCUAGGAGAGUUUCAAAAGGCUUGUUGCAAAAAAUAGUACCCCCAUCACUAAUUAUGGCUUUGGGCACCCCAAAUCUUGAGAAGAUGUUCUCCUUGAGAAAGUUGAGAACCACUCUAUGGUCAUUGUGCUUGCAUGGGACUACCUCAACCCACUUAGAAACAUAAUCUACUCCCAUCAAGACGUAAGAGUAGUCAAAAGACAUAAGGAAUGGUCUCAUGAAGUCAAUGACCCAAACAUAAAAAAGAUCAACUAUCAAAAUAGGGUUCAAAGGCAUCAUGUUGCUACGUGUCAACUUCCCAACCCUCUGGCAUCGAUCACAACCCUUGUACAUGGUGUGGGCAUCUUUGAAAAGUGAUGGCCAACAAAAACCCGAUUGCAACACCCUCAUGGUUGUCUUUUGAGAAGCAAAGUGGCCUCCACAUGCAUUUUCAUGGCAAUGACUAAGGAUCCCCUGUUGCUCUUAUUUAAGAACACACUUCCUUAUUAUCUAAUCCGCACAAUACUUGAAUAGAAAUGACUCUUCCCAAUAGUAGGCAUGAAUUUUUGCAAAGAAGUACUUCUUAUCUUGUGCUUUCCACUCACUUGGAACUUCUCCCGUGACUAGGUAGUUAGCAAUGUGAGCAUACCAAGGAGCAACUUCCACCAACAUGAGAGACUCCUCUAGAAAAUUAUCAUUGAUGGGCAAACCAUGGGAAUUAUGUGUGAUAGCUAGCCUUGAAAGGUGGUCUGCUACCACAUUCUCCACUCUUUUCUUAUCUUUGAUCUAGAGAUUGAACUCUUGAAGCAAGAGGAUCCAUCUAAUCAGCCUUGCUUUAGCAUCUUGCUUAGUCAACAGAUACUUCAAAGCAGAGUGAUCAGUGAAAACCACAAUGAAGGACCCCCCAAGUAAGCACAAAACUUAUCCAAGGCAAAAACUACAGCUAAUAGUUCUUUCUUAGUGGUUGUGUAGUUUCUUUGUGCCUUAUUCAAUGUCUUGCUGGCGUAGUAGAUCACAUAGGGUUUUCCAUCUUCUCUUUGCCCAAGAACAGCUCCUAUGGCAAAGUCAUUGGCAUCACACAUUACCUCAAAGGGCAGUUGCCAAUUGGAAGCCCUCACUAUUGGUGCGGUUGUCAUAAAUAGCUUCAAUUGUUCAAAACUCCUUUGGCAUCUAUCAUCCCAUAUGAAUUUAGCAUCCUUCACCAAUAGUUCACAAAGAGGCCUUGCAAGCUUAGAGAAAUCCUUGAUAAACCUCCUAAUUGCCUUACUCCUUUGACAUUUGUUGGGGAUGGCAAUUUGACAAUGAGUUCAACCUUUGCUUUGUCAACUUCAAUGCCUUGCUUGGAGAUGAUGUGCCCAAGGACAAUCCUUUGUUGUACCAUGAAAUGACACUUCUCCCAGUUAAGCACUAAGUCUUUCUCAAUGCAUCGGUUCAGAACAGCUUCUAAGUUGACCAAGCAUUCAUCAAAUGCACUUCCAUAUAUGGUGAUAUCAUCCAUAAAGACUUCCAUAAUACGCUCCACCAUAUCACUGAAAAUGCUUAACAUGCAUAUUUGGAAAGUUGCGGGUGCAUUGCAUAAGCUGAAAGGCAUUCUCCUGUAUGCAUAGGUGCCAAAUGGACACAUGAAAGUGAUCUUUUCCUAGUCUUCAACAUUAAUUUCUAUCUUAAAGUACCCGGAGUAGCCAUCCAAGAAACAAUAAAAAGGAUGCCCAGAGACUCUUUCAAGGACCUGAUCAAUAACGGGCAACAGGAAAUGGUCCUUCCUUGUCACUGCAUUCAAUCUAAUGUAAUCAUACACACCCUCCAACCUAUAGUGAGGCGUGUAGAGACAUUUUCUCCCUUAUCAUUUUGCACCACCGUGAUCCUAGACUUCUUUGGCACAACUUGAGUAGGACUCACCCAUGGGCUAUCUGAUAUGGGGUAGAUAAUACUGGCCUGAAGCACUGUAAGAACUUCAACUCGCACCACCUCUUACAUGUGAGAGUUCAACCUUCUCUGAGGUUGACAAAUUGGCUUAGCUUAAUCCUCCAUGUAAAUAUGAUGGGUGCAGACUAAAGGGUUGAUCCAUUUCAAAUCAGAAAUUUGCCACCCUAUUGCCUUCUUACAUCUUAUAAGGACUUCAAGUAGACAAUCCUCUUGAUGAAUGGUAAGAGCUGAAGAUAUAACAAUAGAGCACUGCUUGUCUUCUUCCAAGUAUGCAUACUUCAACUCUGUGGGUAGUGGCUUAAGAAUAAGCUUUGGGGGCUCCUCCUUAGCAGCUCUUUGUGUCUCCUCCUCAUUGAAUAAGGGUAGAAUUUAUUCUCUCAUCCUCCAUGGAGACAGGAUAGCAAGUAAAUCUGAGGGUUCAGGUAACCCUUCAUCAAGAUCCCCAAGACUCUCAAUCAGAUCCUCAUGCAUUCUCUUAUCACAAUGCUCCUCCACUAAAGUGUCAAUCAUGCACACUUCCUCUAGACUUUCUUCUUCUUCCGGAUGGAUAUGCUUCUUGCACAAAUGGAAGAUGUUGAGCUUUAAUGUCAUGUUGUCAAACGUGAGUUGCAUGACUCCAUUCCUACAAUUGAUGAUUGCAUUUGAUGUAGCUAGGAAUGGUCUUCCAAGUAUGAUAGGAACAUAAUUAGUUCAUUUGACAACCGAAUCCAUAUCAAGAAAAACAAAAUCCACUAGAUAGUAGAAUUUGUCAACUUGAACCAAGACAUCUUUGAUCAUCCAUUUUGAAAUCUUCACUGAUUUAUCUGCCAGAGAUAGAGUGAUGGAUAUUGGCUUUAACUCUCCAAGUCCCAACUGCUUGUAGAUAGGGUAGGGUAGCAAAUUCACUCUUGCUCCCAAGUCCAACAAAGCUUUCUCCACACAAGUCCCUCCAAUACUCACUGAGAUGGUAGGGCAGCCCGGAUCUUUGAACUUCACUAGAGACUUGCACUAUAUGAUGGCACUCACUUGCUCAGUCAAGAAGGCUUUCUUGUUCACAUUCAACCCUCUCUUUACAGUGCACAAGUUCUUUAAGAAUUUUCCAUAUGUCGGCACUUGUUUGAUCAUGUCUAGCAAAGGGAUAUUGACCUUCACUUGCCUCAACACUUCAAAAUUUUCUGUUGCAUUAUUGGUUCCCUUUUUUCCAUGCAAAGCUUGAGGGAAAGGUAGAGGCAUGUGUUUCUUCAUCAUAUCUUCCUUGAUGACUAUCCUCUCGAGUUCUUCAUCCACACUAGAAUCAUGGUCAUCUUUCUUUGUACUUUUCCCUUUUCUCUUUCCUUUAAUUUCCUUACUCUUUUCUUUUUUUGCUACACUCUCUUUAUCAUGCUUUGGCUUAGAUGUGGGUUGAUCAACCUCUUUACUACUCCUCAAGGUGAUAACUGCUUUGACUUCCCUCACUUUUGAAGAUUCUCCCUCUUAAGCCUCCACUUCAUGGAUACCCUUGGGAUUUUGAUGAGGUUGAGAAGGAAACUUUCCUUUCUCUUCCACUAUGUUGAGGUUGGUAAGCCUUAAGAUUGCGUAUUGGACAUUGUGUAUCUUUUGAGACAGAUCAUUUUGCAUCCCAUCCAUCAUUUUGUUCAAUGUACUCUCCACACUGUCAAUUCUCUGAUUCAGUUAAGUAUCGAUGGACUUCUGAUCUCCCACAAAGUCUCCCACAACCUUGCUAAGGUUCACAAUAGCUUGUUCAAGAUUCGAGACUUGCUGAGGUGCUUGAGCAGGUUGUGUGUACUGAGGUGGCUUUGGUUUCCAAGAGAAAUUUGGAUGGUUCCUCCAAUUUGAAUUGUAGGUGUUGCCAUAUGAAGCAUUUUUAUUGGGCUUGAAUUAACCAAUAACAUUUGCUUGAUCACCAAACAUCUCUCUCACUGCUGGAAUGGUAGGACACUUUUCCACCAAGUGCUCAUAAGAUUGACAAAUGGAACAAGGCAUAGCUUGCACUGAUGUCUCAGAAAUGGCUUGCACUUCUUGUACCUUCUUCAUUUCUAGCUUUUCCAAUCUCCUUGCCAUAGUUGCAACCUUUGCCUUCAUGUCAAUAUCUUCAUUCAAAACAUACAUCCCACCCUUAGCAUUAGGUUGAGACUUCAUUCUUCCCACCUCUCUAGUGUUUGGUUCAUCCCAUCCUCUUGAAACUUCAGCCACAUAACUCAAAAAGUCCAUGGCUUCCUCCGGAUUCUUACUCAUGAAGUCUCCUCCACACAUAGUUUCUAGGAGUUGCUUCAUUGAAGAAGACAUACCAUCGUAAAAAUAGCUCACUAAGAGCCAUGUGUCAAACCCAUGGUGAGGACAAGCAUUAAUAGCUUCCAUGUACCUCUCCCAACACUCAUAGAAUUUCUCAUUCUCUUUAGCUAAGAAGUUUGAAAUUUGCCUUUUCAAACCAUUGGUCCUAUGAGUAGGGAAGAACUUCUUGAGAAACUCGGCUUGCAAAUUAGUCCAAGUUCAGAUACUCCUUGGCCUUAGAGAAUUGAGCCAAAUCUUGGCCUUAUCCUUCAAGGUUAAAGGAAAUAGCUUGAGCUUCAUCAAGUCAAUUGAAGCUCCUCCUUCUUGGAAUGUAUUACAAACCCUUGUCGAAUUCCUUAAUAUGCGAGUAGGGAUUAUCCCUUUCCAUCCCAUGGAAAGUAGGUAGGAGUGGCACAAUGUGAGGUCGGAUUACUAGCUGCUCAGUGGGAGGCAUUAUGCAUCAAGGUGCACUCAUAUGAGGUGGAUGCAUGUGGUCCCUCAUGGAUUGGUAUGCAUUGAAAUUAUCCUCUUGACCAUGUUGGCUAUUUUGGUCUUCAAGUGGAACAUCCAUGAUGUUCAAGCACACUUCCAACUCAGUUUCUUGAGGAAUUUCAAUCUUCACAAGUCUUCCCUUGAUAUCUCUUAUCCAAUAGGGCAUGCACAACUAGAGAUCACUGAAACAAAAACAAAGAAAACAAAAGAAAUACGAUUCUAGAAAGAGGUUAAGGUUAACUAAAAACUAAAUAAAAGAUAAGCUAAAAUAGAGAUAGAAAAAGAAUUAGUAAAAGAAAAAUCACCAAACUUGUGAUGAAGAUCAUAAGUGUUCACCAAAACUAAUGUCAAUGGACUUUGGCACCAUCCCCGACAGCGGCGCCAUUUGUUUCGUCCUUGACAGCGGCGCCAUUUGUUUCACCCCCAGCAACAACGCCAUUUGAUUCUUGCGCCUGAUGGGUGUUAUCAACAAAAUUUAUAAAACCUAAAUCACCUUACACUAGGGUAGCAUGGCUCCUAUAGUAUAGUGGCUCUAGGAUCGUCCACAAGGAUGGGUUUUCUUCAUACAAGUGACUUUAGUGAAGGUAAUGAAAUGAUGCUUUUCCUUGUGAAAAUUAGCUUUUAAAGAAAAUGGAAUUGUGGUUGAAAAAGUUGAUUUUAAGUUAAUAAAAAAUAGCAAUUGAAGUUAACUACAAAGAGAAUGUUUCUUGGAGCUUUACGUCACUAGGAUAGGGUUCCUUAGGAAAAAAGGGAGAUUCUGGAUCUUCUCCUCGCAUUGGGGACAAUAACAUAAAGGAUGGUUAUCUCCCGAACCAGUUUUGUAUUUAUCAAUUAAGAUUUGAUCCAAAGCGUUCAUGAAACAUGGUAGUUGCUUCCCAUUAAUGGCUUCAAACACUAAAGACCCUCACCUUGAACCACCUUCCGAUGGCUCGUAAUUGAUAACUAAUGAACAUCCAUGGAUCUAGUAAUAAGCAUCCAUAGAAUCCGGAAAGCUUACCAAGUAUUGGCCAUUCAAGGUGAUUCUCACCUUGAACCACCUUCCAAUGGCUCGUACUUGAUAACUAAUGGACAUCCAUGGAUCUAGCAAUAAGCAUCCAUGGAAUCCAGAAAGCUUACCAAGUAUUGGUGAUUCAAGGUGAUUCUAAGGGAUUUAAAGUUAAACCUUGAAAUAAAAACCAUUAAGGGUUAACAAUUACCUUCAUUUAAAGCAAGGAAAACUCCCACAUUUGCAUCCGAGUCCUUCACCUAGUUUCCAUCACUCCUAGAAACGUAAAACUUAGCCACUCAUCCCCUGAGAAAUUAUCCUCAGAGGUUGUUUGGCUAGAAAGAAAAAUGAAAACAAAAAUGAGAAGGAAAGGCAGAGCAAGGGCUUUGUAUAUUUCUUCCUACGGGAAUUACAAGUGUCGUCGUUUAAGAUUUUACAAAAAGAUAUAUAUAUAUAUAUAUAUAUAUAUAUAUAUAUAUAUAUAUAUAUAUAUAUAUAUAGAGAGAGAGAGAGAGAGAGAGAGAGAGAGAGAGAGAGAUCUUUACAGGCCCCCUUUAUAGUUCCUAACCAAGAAAUCCUAUCAUUGGUUGAUUACAAGGAGAAAAUAGUAAUUUACACAAAAAUCUGGAGAUAAAAAUCUAAUGGGGUCGAUGCACAAGAAUAUUUCGCAGACCAUGCGAAAUUUUGCAUGGUGUGGUUUCGCAAGGUGUGCGAAAUUGUCCUUCACUCAGUCCUGCAACUGCUUCUCUUGAUUUCGCAUGCUAUGAGAAAUUGCUACAUGUUGGAUUUCUUCCUCUGGUUUUCUUCCUUGCAUCUCUGAUUGACUUGGCAACCUAUUGCCAAGCUUGACAAAGGACUAUGAAGUGCUCCAAAACUCGGAUUCUUCAUGUAUUUGAGCUUCAACUUGCAUUGCCAUGGAUUGCACAAAAUUCUCCCUCAUUCUUUGCUUGUUUUAAUGAUAAAAAAGCUACCAAAAACACCAAAACUAGCCAAAAACUGAUUAGUAACCCUUGCUAGGUUCCUUAAUGUGCCAAUUGGUUAAAAAGUAUUAACUACUACUCAAAAGUGUUUAAAACAAUUAAUUUCAAGCUAUAAAAGAGCACUUUUUGAGUAGUUAUCACACUACAAUCUUCUUAUUCGGAGUGGGCUUCUCCCAUUUGAACCUCUUCACCAAAUGAUGCAUGAACACAAGUAAUCUCCAAAUGGUCGUAUUCUUUUCCAAGGCACAUCCAAGGUCCUCCUCCAAAUGAUGGGUUGAAUUUUUUGGGGUUUGGGAAGUAUUUAGGUUAUAUUUGGUUCCCAAGAAGUAUUAAGGAAAGAAAAAAAAUCUAAUAAGAAAAAUGAUUUUUUCAUGUUUGGUUUCAUUAUAAAAAAUAUGAAAGAAAAUAAAAUAUAAUUAAAAUUAGUUAAAAAUUUAUAUAAAAAAAUAAAUUAUUGACUUUAGAUCUUUUUUUUUUUCUUCACUUUUUUCUUUUCUUUACAUUCUUCUUUUCUAUUUUCUUUUUCUUACAUUUUUCCUCACUCGGGAACCAAACAUGCUAAAGAAGUAAACAUGGGAAUAAACAAAUAGCAAGACUCAACCACAACUCGUUUGACACUAUAUUAAGUUGUUGAUUAGCAUUAUGUUUGGUUCCUAAAAAGUAUCGAGGAAAAAAAUGUUAUGAAAAAUGAUUUUAUCAUGUUUAGGUUCACUACGAAGAUAUGGAUAAAAAAAAAUAUGAUUAAAAUUAAUUAAAAAUAUAUGUAAUUUUAAAUUAUUUGAUAUUUUUUUACAUAAAAGAGAAAAAGAAGUAAAAUGAAUUUUAAAAAACAUAUAAAAAUAAUUUAUUUAUUUUUCUUUUCUUCUAUUUUCCUCUUCAUUUUCUUUUCCUCGUAUAUUUGUCUUAAAUUUUCUAGGAACCAAGCAUAGGCUUAGGGUUUUUCGGUGUGUUGAAUUUAUACUGCAAUAUAAAUGCAUGGUAAUAGUUAUAUAAAUCACAAGUGAUAAAGAACUAAAUGAGGGAAUAACCAAACAAAUAGAUUCAAAGUUGAAGCCCAUGGAAAUUAACCACCUCUCAUGGUACAAUACUAAGUUACUAAUUAAUGGAAGAACUAUUGAUAAAAGGUAAUGAUAUAUAUUAAGUUAAAUUAUUACAAAAUCAUAUUAGUAUUUCAUCGUAAUUACAUGGUAUGUUUAUAUCGAUCACCAACAAUAGAUAAAUAAAUGAAGAAAUAAAUAAACAAUGAGACUUAAACUUAGGACUUGUAGAAAUCAAAUCUUAAUACUAUAUAUUUUAAGCUAGCAAUUCAUUUAGAAACUUAAGAUAUUAGGUAAUGAACAAAAAAUAUAUUUAUCAAACUAAUAUUAAUGAUGAUCACAUAGUUUUAUUUUACUUGAUGUAAUAUAACUAAGUGGUAUAGGUUACACAAAAUAUAAAUAAUAGAGAAAUAAAUAGACAAAAAUAUUCAAACCUAGAUCAGUAAAAACUAUAACACCUCUAGUAGAAUGUUGAGUCGCUGCUUAACCUAAAAAACUUAUUAAUAAUGCCAGUCUUCAAGAUAUCAUCGCAUCAACAAGAUUCUCAUAGGAACUGGGAAGUGAACAAAGUAGCAGGACAACCUAGUCCUUGUCUUCAAUCUUUACAUUAGCACUCUUCAAAUCAAGAAUAAUCUUGUUAGAUAGAUCAAGAUGAUCCUUAAUUGUCAUGCCUUCAUCCAUCUAAAGUUGAUACAACUUGUUUGUAAGAGACUUUGUGAUGCGACUCAUGGUAGCUUAGCUUUAAAGGCGUAUCAACAAAAUUUAUACCUUAAAUACUGUUACUAAAGUAGCCAAGCUACUAUAGCAUAGUGGUUCUAGGAUCGUUCACUGGGAAGGGUUUUCGCAAACACUAGUGAUAUUCAAAUUAGGAAAAUAUGUGAUUUUCUUAUGGAUGUUAGCUUUAAAAGAAGAUGUAAAUGUUUUAGAAAGAUUUAAACUAAUCUAAGCUAACAUUAAACACUUAAAUGAAAGGGUGUAAAAACAAAUUUCUCAAAGAUAGGAUAGCUAUGCUUUGGCUCUUAUGCAAAUUGGAAAUCUCAGGAUAGGCUCCUCGCGUUGGGAUUGCAACUAUGGUGAUGCUUGCUUCCCAUACCGGUAUGGAUUUAGCAAAUCAAGUUUUAAUCCUUUAAAAUGGCAAAACAGAUGGUAGUGAAUUUCAUCAAUGGUUAUUCACCUUAGACUUCCUUUGAAUGGCUCGUAAGAGAUAACUAAUGGUCUAAAGCCAAAAGCUUACCAAAUAUUGGCAACUCAAAGUCAUUCCAGGUGAUAAACUCGCCUUUCAAUGGCCAUUGAAAUUGGUUCUAACGGAUUAAUGCAAAACUUGGAAUUGAAAACCUCACCUUCCAAUAGCUCGUAGGAGAUAACUAAUGGAUAGAAAUCCAAAAGCUUAUCAAGUAUUGGCCUUUGGAAGUUGUCCAAAGGAAAUAAAAACCAAACUUUGCAUUAAUGAACCAUUAAUGAAAAACGACUACCUUACCUUCCAGGUGCGAGAAAUUUCCAUGGGAUUGCAUCCAAGCCAUCACAUAACAUCCAUACUUUGAGAAACUAAAAGUUUUAGCCAAUCAUCCUCUGAGGAAAAGCCCUCAUAGGUUGUUUGGCUACUAAGAAAAUAGAAAUGGGGAAGAACAGGAGAAGAGAGAAAAACAGAGCUUUAUAUAUUUCUAAGUUAAUGUACAGAGGAUUGAUCCCCAAUUCCCCCCAAUAUCUUUUGGAGGCGUUGUGCACCUCUAUAUAUAGCAAAAUUACAAGAUAAAGCCUUAAGUCGGCUCAAUACAAGGUUACAAAAGGAAUUUACACGAGAAAAUAUCAAGCUAAAAAUAUAUGGGAAGUCGGUGGUGCAUGCGUGGAGAAACAGAGGAUUUCAAAGGCAUUUUCGAAAGGGGAAAGAUGAAGGGUCCAAAUUUCGCAAGGUGAAAAGCCACCUUGCGAAAUUUCGCAAGGUGGUUCUUCAUGGUGCGAAAUGGCCAAAUUUCGCACCAUGAAGAAAAUCUCCUUGCGAAAUGAUGUUCCCAUGGAUUGAUGCAGUUGUCUUCCGAAUGCCAUAUCUUCCUCAUUUCAGCUCCAAAUCGUACACAGUUUGAAGCGUUAGAUUCUUGACUUCCUGAGAUUUGAAAUGGUAUAUAGAAUGUAGAAAAUGAACUUCGGAAAGUGCUCCAAAAGUGCGAAAGAAGACUGCAGCUUCUGUCAUUUGUUUUCUUCACUUUGCUUGUUUUUCCUCUUUGCUUCUCUCCUUUACUUGGCUUGUCUUAAUGAUCCAAAAAGCUGUCAAAACACUAAAACUAGCCACAAAUAUGAUUAGAAGUCAUUGCUAGGUCCUUAACAUGCCAAUUGGAAUAAAGAUGGAGAACUACUACACAAAAGUGCUUAAAACAUAAUGAAUUAAAGGUGUAAAAUAACACUUUUUGGGUAGUAAUCACUUUGUCAUGUACAGACUUUCUAAUUUCAACCAAAUUCCCAAAGUAGUAGUUUCAUCUGAAACUUCCUUGAGAAUUUCAUCUCCCAUAUGACAAGAUGAUUGUAGCUUGCACUUUACUCAUCAAAUCUUUCGUCUCAUUUUCAAACAAACUACUAGGCAGUUUUUCAAACCAUCUAAGAGCAUCUUCCAACCUUCGAUGGACCAGCAGUGCUCUCAUCUUAAUUCGCCACAAAUUGAAGUCAUUGCCUUUCGUGAACUUCUCGAUGUCAAACUUUGUAGUUGUCAUUUCAACCUUCCUUUCAUACCAAUUUGUUAUGAACAAAGUAAUAAUAACUCAGAAAAUAGCAGCAAGUCUAUUGAGAAAGAUUGAGAAUUAAUUAAAACCAACACAAACAAGUACACAUUAGACACAUAAUUUACGUGGUUUGGGUAAUAUCCAAUAUUCAUGAGCAGGCCCAGAUUAUUUCUUCAAUUAUUGAACUAGAAUUGUACAAAGUCUUUCCUUUUCAUAGUGUUUCCCAGAGAUUUUAAACACCAAUCUCCCUUACUAAAAUUGAAAACUCUGAACGAAAAAAACUCUACAAUACAUCCAUCAAUUUUUUUUCCACAUUAUUAUAUGCUUUGAGAUCAACACCACCAGAGACAAAAUAGUUGUCUUUUCUUUAAAGAGAUAUAUUGCAGCACUGCGCACUGUGAUACAGCCAUCAUUGGAAGAAGACAAACCAGAGCUAGACCACAAGGGCUAAUGCUGAGGAAGAUAAUUAAACUUGUUGGCAGAAUGGCCAAGACUUCAAUUGUACAGUAUAUGUGCCAUACACCUUUAAAUGAAAGACUAAUCAUUGCUGAAUUUUUGUGGGUCGUUGAUUUUUAGAAUAAGUCCAAAUUUUCUUUUAGAAGAUACUAUAUUGUAUAUUAAAAAUUAUUAUUAUUUUAGAUUUAGAAGAAAAGGAGCCUUCAGCAAGUGAAUUAUAAGACAUUAAUCACGUAAGCAUGAUGCCAAUGAGAUCUCCUAGACAGAUUCCAAGAUUUCUGUGCUUUGAUUUUGGUAGAAUCCUAUCUUCUUAGAAAUGAAUUAGAAAAAGGGUUCACUUACCUUACCAAGUAUAAUUGUUUGUACCCGAUCUCAUUUCUUUGUAUUCUUGAAUUGUGAUUCCAUUUGUUUGUAUUUUCACUUGACGGUUUAUAUCUCGUCAUAUACAUUCAAUGAUCCAAUCCAAAUUUAAAGUUGAUGGAUACCACCACGUAACUUAGAAAAAAAGCAUCCAAAUUAAUGCCUGUUCCAUUCUUGGUUAGUGUGCCGCGAGGUACUCCUGUGCUGCAUGUCUCCUUUAUUCAAUUAGGUUGCGAAGCUAUAUACAAAUGAGAAAUGAAGGGUAGUAUGUAGAUAUGAUUUCAGAGAAAGGACAGUUUUUUUGGAAGGGAGGGAGAGUUAGAAAAUGUGGAGGCUUAAGAUUGCAGAUGGAGGCAAUGAUCCCUACAUCUUCAGCACCAACAACUUUGUGGGAAGACAGAUAUGGGAGUUUGAUCCUGAUUAUGGAACCCCAAAAGAGCGAGCUAAGGUCGAAGCAGCUCGUGAAAAUUUCUGGAAAAAUCAGUUUCGGGUUAAGCCCAGCAGUGAUCUUCUCUGGUGAAUGCAGGUGAUCCCAUCUGUGUCAAAAUCUGCAAGAACACGUAGGAACAUGAAUAUAUAGUAUAUGUAGGGUAUGCAUGCUUAUGUGACUGAACCAAAGAAAUGGUUUAGCUUCAAAGAUUGUCUCCUUACGAGAGUAAGAGAUUUUACAAGACGAUGUAAAUGGUCUGGUCUGCAGUAUCUUUUUCUCUUGAGUAGAAUUCAACACUAAAAAGGUUAGACCUUAUUCUACUUCUUUAAUUAGUUAAUUUAAUGUAUUGAAGAAUAAUAUAAUGAGAAAGUGGCAAUUCAAAUUUGGGCAGGGUGAACACCUUGGGCUUAGAUUAAUUAAUUAAUCUUGUUCUCGCUUAUGUCUUCAACUUCUUAUACAUUCUAUAUAUAUAUAUAUAUAUAUAUAACAUGUGAAAUGAAAAAGUUGAAGAAAGAAACUGAAAAAAUAGAUGAAUUUAACAGAAAUAACUGCCAUAUUAGUCCAUGUAAUGUUAAGAAUCUUUUUAUAGAUAGAAAGAGAUAUAUAGAACAGCAAUUUUGGACUUAAUAUUAGUAUAGAUGCUUUGUACAGAUUGUUAGGGUUAACUUCAGGCUGGACCCUGGGCCCAAAUCCAGCACAACCCAACUGAAUUGAAUAGAUCAUAGGCCCAUUGGGUGUUGAACUUGUUCUAGGCAGACAGGACUUCAGUGGUAACCCACCCAAAUUAAGUAUGAAUCCUGUGGCCACCAGUACAGUAUCUCCCUUUGGUUCAUGGAUAAAAACUUAAAUCAUCUGAAUGACUCUUUUACUUUGGUUAUCAUUAAAAGAGAUUUUUAGGACACUAGGACAUUCUCUAUGCUCGAUAUUAAUGGAAUAUGGAAGGUUUACUAGUUUCUUGUCAUGACUGAUCAUUAAUAUAAGAUAUAAGGUCACUGUUAAAACAUGUGAGUUAUCAGAUAAGAUUUUAAUGGGCAAAGAUAAAGACACAAACCUCUUUAUUUUUUAAAUUGGGGAAAUAGAUAUGUAUUGAUGAAAACUUGACCUACCAUCAAACGAGACUCACUUCCCUUCUUGAUCUAGUUAUUGUGCGCAAGGGUUGGGGUGGCCAUUGGGCAUCAUCUUGCCCAAAUCCAUAGGAAAGAGUAUCACAUGGGUUGGACUAUUGUUGUGAUUCAUGGCAGAGUUGGCCCUGAUUGGGGCUAAUAUCUAGGAGGUGAUUCUUGGUUCUGGGUUUUUGCAGCUUUGGGUUGGAGUUCUAGUUACUGCAUCUGAUUGGUAAGUCUUUUGAUUUUUAAAUUGCACUUUAUUAUCUAAUAUUUUGCAAUUGGUUUAUUAAAUUUAACCUUUCAUGAAAUGUCAACGUCUUCAAUCUCAGUGUAAUAUAUUUUAGGUUUUGAAUAGAUUUUGCUGGAGUUGUAUGUUUUUAAUUAUCUAUUUUAGGAUAUGUUUUAAGGUAUUUUAGACCUCUUAAAACAGUCAUUAUCAACUCAUCAUAAAUAUGUUUUAUGAUUUUUCAUGUUGUACACGACAUUGAGGGAAUAUUUUAAAGGAGAUGAUAUUCUCUAACAGAAUCGAGUUCAUUGCUCCCUCUUUCACGAAUAUAGCUUUGGUUGUCAUUGCUAAAAUUUAAUUAUGUGAUGUGCUUCUAUUUUGGAUAGAGGGAGUCAUAGUGGUAGCCUUUAAGUGGGAAUAUGAAGUUGGAUCUCAUGCAUUUGCUUGGUUGAGAUAUACAAGGCUUACAUGCUCGGGCUCUAUUGAAACUCCAAGAAUCAACAAGGAAAGUCACUGACAGUUGUUUUCCCAGGUUUCAUCAUUCACCUCAUCAAAGCUUUAUAUAAAGAUGAUGUCUUCCCAUAGUGUGGGUUGUGUGUGAGCUCUCCUUUAUUUGUUGUAGAUUGGAGCUGGUGGAUUCCUUGAGAGACAAGCAAAAAAUAUUUCAUCCAAAUGGACUAGAGUCAGAAUAUGCCCAGUUGUUGUUUGCAUAUGCAAAAUCAUCAUCACUAUUGAGAGAAACUGUAUUUCAUUUUCUAGAAAGGUUGAAUGGAGAUGAGACGUAAUAAAGGGUCAGAGGAUUAUUAAGACACUAAAAAACAAAUAAGAGAGAAGAGAUUUGUUAAGAAGUGAAUGGGGCAUCAAAGUGGAUGAAGAAUGAUUACAAGUGGAUGUCCUCUUUGUUGGUAGUUUGCAUUUGUCACUCAUCCCCCUGUUUUUAGCCAUCUUGGUUUUAAUUUUUUUUUUUCUCCAAUUCCUUUUCCCAUGCUGUACCUUGCACCCUGAACCUGCUAUUUGUCUACAACCUUAGGUGAUGAGACACAUUUGACUCUAUAAUAUUUUUAAAAAUAGUUUUUAAUAGUAGCUUCUAAAAAAAAUUAGAAACAAAAUUUUAUUUCAAGAUUCAAAUGUCAAAUACCUUAUUUAUUGGUGAUUAUAUUUAUUAAUAAAACUCAGCAUAAGUAGCUCUGGUGUUUGUACAUGUCCUCGCUUCUUUCAAAACUUAGAAAAGUUGAACUUCAUUUGAAUUCCUAUAUUGAUGGCCUUGUGAGCACAUAAACAAAGCAUAUUUAAAAGAGAGCAUAUUUAUUAAAAUUUAAUAUCUUAAUAAAAUAGAUGUAUCAAAUUAUUCUUUUCAAGUUUUACAUGAACACAAAUUAGUGUAACCAACUUUUGUCAGCUUUUGAUUAGUUCUCAUCCAAUGAAAUAGAUGAUUGGUUGCAAUUUUUCUCAACAAGUUUGAGACCUUGAAAAUCAAUUGCAAAGGAAAGGAAAACCAGAUUAAAAUAGCCGCCAAAGACCAUAGCAGAGAAAAAGUAUAGGAAAGGAAAACCAGAUUAAAACAACCAUUGGGUAAAAUAAAACUUAAUGUUGUUAAUCUCAUUGCAUCAUUCACUUUAGUUUCUAAAUCUAUAUUAUUUAAAUUUCUUAGAAAUAUGCAUGUAAGUAAGACUUCUUACUUGGGAUGGAUGGAAGCAACCAACAAUGGCUUGCUUAUUCCUUCCAAUGCUCAUAGUGAGAAGAUCAACCCAAUGCUGACUGAGGUUACGAAAUAGGAAAUCCCAUAGGAGGAUCUUCAAAUUGGUGAACGUAUUGGCAUUGGUAAGAAUUUAUUCUCCUGGAUUUAUUCAUUCUUGUUGAAGAAGAAAAAAUCUUUUGGUAAUAGGAAAUACUUCAUUUAUUAUCUAUUUAAUAGAGGUUCCUUAUAUUUUGUGUUUCACUUUACUUUUGAUGAUGUGACAAAAAAUCUUUGAAUUUUUUGGCAAAUUAUGAUACUUCAAAAUGAGUUUCAAACAUAAUAUUUAAAUAGUUGAUGGAUAAUGAUAAGAAAUAGAGAUGCUUAAAUCAAGCUUUAAUUAAAUAAACCAUUUUCUUACCAAAAAUAAAUUCCAAGGUUUUAACACAAAACAGAAUGAGAAAGGAAUAUAUAUAUAUAAUCCCUAAAAAGAAGUUAUUAUUGAAAAUGGAAGACAUUAUACGAUGACUCUUGAAAAACUAUUGUUAAAUUAUAUAAGAUUAUUUGAUAAUAAAAUUUUGCACUUUAUCAACCAGAUUAAUUGUAAAAAAUAACAAAGAAAGAAGUAUAAAAAUGUCAAGGCCAAAUGAGAGCUUAUUUAGUGAGGCUAACAUCCUUUUGAAUUCUUAAUAUUUGAGAGGUUUUGGAAACAUGUUAUUUCUAGAAGAAUGCCGCUCUUAAGAUUAAUUUCAGGCAAGCCUACAAAUCAAUGAGAAUUAAGAAGAAUACUAGAGCUACUCUUGAGUGGGAAUGUAGCUUUGACAAAGUUUGAUCCAGGGGGUUUCCCUCUUAGGUUUAUGUAAACUAGGAUGAAAUCCAAACAGAUUUCUUCUUUCUGUUUAGAUCAUUAGAAGUACUUCCAUUGAUUACAAUUCUGUUGUAGGUGCGAGCAUUUAGAAGUUUAGAGUUCUAUGUGUGCUACCAAUGAUGUUUUCUUUAUUUUUUUUCCAUUAUUUUUCUUUUGAUUUUAUGAGUUCUACACUUGUUGCUCUUUAAAUCUAUUUGUAUUUUUAGAAUUUCCACAUGUUCUAGAAGUUCUUAAGCAUUGCCAUAAACAUGAGUAUUUUUUUAUGUCCAUGUACAAAUGCUAAAACACCCUCUAAGAAACUCUAACUCAUCUAGAAAAUUGAUAGUUAUAUAUUUGUUAAAGAUACUCUAUCAAAAUUAAAUUUUGGCUUUAGGGUGGUUGGUAAAUUAGCAUUUAUCUCCAAACAUACGAGAGAUUUCACCCAAAAACCAACUGGUGUUCAUUCACUAUUAUUACUUUAUAGAUUAGCUCUAUAGAUGUUUUCUCCCAUUUUCUAAUGCUUUCACUAGUUUUUUUAGCUUUUUGCUAAGUUAUCCUUGAAGUUUUAGGUGUUAGCAUGGAACUUCUGGUGACUAUCAUGCCUUUAUUGUAUAGCUUUUCCACCAAGGAAAUGGUCAAGCCUCCUACUUGGUUAAUUAGGCAUUUAGUCUAUUUUACGUGAUCUCUUUUCUAUAUUAGGGCAUUUGACCUCCUUACGUUGGAUGUCUUGUUUCCCAAUUAUUUUGUUUGGAAUAUUGAGGCAUGCAUUAGAGUUGGUAAUUAUUUUUUGGAUGCAUGCAUUAGAGCUGUUAAUUAUUUUUUUCCUAUCAGAAAAAAAACACACCCAUUUAGAGCCCAUUAGUGAAUGAUUUUGAGAGAGUGAGAAAAACUUGAAGUACUUUGUUAUAGAAAUUAGGCAUUUGAAAAAAUUUUGAAAAUCACUUUUAAAAUUUUGGAUAAUCACUACAUAGGUGAUUCUUCCAAAAAUUAUUAUUAUUAUUUUUUGGUUAUGUGACAUAUUACCAAAAACAAUAUCAAAUCAUUUUUUUAUUUAUAGCCAAACCCCAAGUUAUUCUCUUUAAAAGUGGUCAUAAUGGAAGUGUUAUUAACAAAAGUAUCAUAGACUAAAAGUGCUACAGGCUAAAAGCGCUUUAAUCAAGGUAACUCUCGAACAGACUCUUUGUCUCAUGAAGGUCAUCCAUGGUAAAUGAUAUGAUUUAUUUCUAAUUGAUACACAUUAAUUUUGGAUGUCAAUUUUACUAAAGUCAUUGAUUUUGUGAAAUGGUAAGAUAAUCAAUUGGGAUUUUUUUAUUGGUAAUAAUCAAUUGGGUUCUUAUGUUUGAAUGUAUAUCUAAAGAUGAAAGAAUGUCUAUUCUCAGUGAAUAUUGCAUCUUGUUGUCAUAAUUAGAAGCCUUAAUCACAUUUGGUCAUAAAAUAACUCUUAAAGUUCGGGACAUACUUUCGCUAUUAAGUUUGGGACAAUCUCAAAACAGAGAAAUAAAAGUACUUUGGAGUUUCUAAUUCAAUUCCCCUAUUUUUUAUUUUAUUUUUUAGUGUUUUUGAAGCUUCCUUAAUGUUUAUAGGUAGAGAUGGUUAUGGAAAAUUGGUUCAAAGAGCGUUGGAAACCCAAAGGCAUCUUGUAGAUUCUAAUUCUAAGUCAGUUCCAGGAACAAAAUCUUUUCAUAUAGAUAUCUGGUUUCCUGACAACAUAUUGCAUAUUUUGGCUUCUUUUAUGGAAAAUUCCAUGUUUUUUGCUCAUGUAGUCAUUGCAUUUCAAUCUUAUUGUUAUCAUGUUCUCAAUAACUUGACUUUUAGACUUAGAACUCCUUUAAAGCAAUUCAGUGAUCCCAAAUGAUAAUUAUCCUUUCUUACUGCUUAUUGAUGAAGAACAUUUAUCCACAAACUAAGAUGAAUAUAUAUAAAUUUUUUUUAAGCAAAGAUAUUUUAUUGAAGAAGUGCCUAAUAGAUGGCUUACAACCCAAGUAUACAAAAAGUAUAUAAAGCCUGCCAAAUAAUUUUUAUUUCCUAUUUUUUCUUUUCUUACUUGUGAUUAAAAAAUGUGAAAACUAUUUUUAAAAAGUGAAAUUAUAAAAUCUUGUUUGAUGUGGAGUUUUUGCUCAUGUAAAAAAUUUAAAAUAAACAUACUUAAAAUUUUAUAUAAUAUACCUGUAAUGUUGUGGAAUAUAUUAUUAUAAAGGAUAUUAUUAUUAGUAUUAUUAUUAUUUAAGGUUCCUUUGAGGGGUUCUAUCUAACUUUCAUAGGUUGUUUUCCUCGUUAUCUUUUUAAUACAUUCUUUUUAAAGAUUUUUGGUCUUUUGCUGAUUUUAUUUUGUAUUGUACUCUCUGCACAUCAUCUUAUUAGUAGUGAUAUUUCUCAGGGUGCUCAUUAGAUGGGCCACUGCCAUGACAACACAGGAUUGUUUGUUGGCACUCAGUAUUGUUUUUUUUUUAAAUGUAUACAGGUAAAAGAUUUCAAGUUCAAGAGUAGAUAUGCAACCAACAUGUACUUUUGGCUAGAAAUAAUUUUGGCUUCUUCUUCUUCUUGUAAUAUUAUUUUUGAUGAGGAAUUUAGAGACCUUGUUUUUUGGUACAUGUGUACUUGUUUUUUCUUGAAGUUGGAAAAUAUGCUUGUUGUAAAUAUUUUGAUACAUUUACAAAUUUACGUAUUAAUUAACUAUGUAGACAUUAGUUCUUUAUCAUGAUAUUAUUCCCAAAUUUAUUCAAUUUCUUUUGGAAGAUAUAGUUAUUAAUAUUGAAGUUAUUGUUUUGUACUUUAUAAAAAAUCAUGCAGCCAAAAUUAUAUAUAACAGGAUAUACAAAAUAUGUCAUUUUAAUAGGGGGGUUUUCAAUAUUAUUAUCCACAUAAGAUGACACUUUUUUGAGUGUCAAAAUAGACAAAUGAUAUUUUGGACAUUCAUUGGCGCUAGUGUAAGUGUUAACAUAGGUAGAUCAAUAAUGACGCUUUUCAAGGUGUCAAUAUAGAUCAAUCAACAAUGACGCUUUAUAAAGCGUCAAAGAUAAUGAACAUUAAAGAUGACGCUUUAAAAGUGUCAACAUUGAAAAUUUGGUGGAAUAAUGGCACUUAAAGAAUGUCAUGCUUUUGGAAAGAUGACACUUGGAUCAGUGUCAAUGUAAGUGCUUUUAUAAAUGACGCUUUCUAGAAGCGAUAUGGUUGUCUGCACCCAUUCCUUGACAGGGGCGAAAAGGACGCUUUUGAGAAGUGUCAUCUUAUACAUUUAUUGACGCCUAAAAAGCGUCAUUAUUGCCCUUCUUUCUUAUAGUGUACGGUUCAAUGAGUUCAAUGUGCAACAAGCUCUCCUACUAUGCGUCAGAUACGUCAUCUUCAUUUCUACUAACGAAAAAUGAAAUAGAAAAUUUAACGGUGAGAAUGGAGGAACUUUAUAAGAGUAAUUUGAAAGGCAAAAAAGUAGCAGCAGAUGGAGCCACAAGUCCUCACCAAGUUCGUGAUCCAAAUAUAUUGAAGACUAAAGGAAAUCCAAGCAAAGUUGCAUCAAAUUUUCAAAAAGGAAGACUAUGUAGUUGUUGUAAAAGAGUGGGCCACACAAUUUGAAAGUUUCCAGAAGCUACAAUCCGUCAUACUGGUAAUCAGCGUGAUAUGGUAUGUGAGAUUGAAUAAGAAUUUGUCGCUAAUCUAAAGCUUUUUAGGUGUACUUACAUAAAUAACUAACACAAUUUUUUUCAUUGCAUUAUGAGUAUGGUGCAGGAAGGUAAUUUGUCUUCCCAAUGUGACAUUCAAAUGGAAAUGAUGCCUUCAAUAAAUUCAUCAAGUCACAUGUUUGGCACCUUACCUCAUGUAUAAUAGGCUUGUUAUAUAACAACAUAAGCGUUGAUAACAUCUAAUUUAACAGUAAUUGACAACACUUAAUCUUUGAAAAUGCAGGGAAUGGGAGGGGAGAAUUUGUGGAAUGACCCAUCUGACAUGUAUAUAGAUUUUGGAGUACUUGGCAAUGUAAGCUCGGGGAUCGAAAACAUUUUGGACAUGAAUUUUAAUUAUGCAUUACUUAAUGAUUUUGUUGAAGUAAUUGGAAUGGAAUUGGAUGGCUCAAUUUUAACCAUGGAAUGUGCAUGUGCAGAUAACAGGAUUUGAGGAAUAUGAAGAAACUAUUACAACACCACGUGAAGGCGAGGAUCCAAACAAUACUCCAAAUGAAAAGGAUAUGCAACCUUUUUGUUAUUCCUUAACAGAGUAAGGGAUGACAAGUAUUAAAUCGGUAUUUUUAUCAUUUGACGUUAUCACUUUGGCUAAUAUGUACUUUUAAACCAAGUAUUUAAUGAAAAGUUUGAAUUCCCAACUAGAGUCAAAUUGAUUGAUAAAAUGCACUAUCCUCCAGAUUUAUAAUUUAUUUGAUAACAAGUGGUAAAAUGAUUGGUCAAACGGGAAACCAAUUAAUUUAUAUUAUGUCAAAAAAAUAGUUGGGCAUGAGGAUAUAAUUAAAGGAAAAUGUGGUUAAAGUUUGAAAAUUAGGUGGUUAUAAAUUAACUAUAAGAAAGUAAUUGAUUUGAUGUAAUUCAUAUGCAAUUGGUAAAUGUAGUGAUAUAACUCAAAAUGGGUAAAUCAUAAUUCGGUAAUUUGGAAUUGUAGUUUCCAUCAUUUCCAAUCCUUUUAAUUGUACCUAAUGGCUCAAUCACCAAUGUUAACUGGUUGAAAAGUAUCCACUACCACUUAUAGUUAUUUAUCAGACGAUAGUUGUACUGAGAAAAUGCAUGAUUGCAUUAAAAUUCUCAACCGAUUGACACUGCAUACAAUAAUUUCUCAAUGAGAAAUUUCAUCAGUCGGUCAUUUGAGCUCCUCAACUGUUAGACACUACAUCCAAUAUUGCUUGAACUGUUUGUGAAAUUUCCUCAGCUGGUUGGGGAAAAUCCUCUACCAGUAGACACUGCAUCCAUAAGGUCAUUAUCCGGUUGAGGAAUAUUCUCAACCAGUUGUCUUAAUUUCAUGGCUGAUAGACACUGCACGCAACUGAACAGAUGGACCGAUUAGUACCAAUUGAAGCACAUUUCUCAACUGGUAACACUGCCUUUAGAAGUCCUUGUUGUAAUUCACUCUUGCUAAUUGCUAAAUAUGAAUCGGCUAACCUAUACUCCCACCGAAACUGACUAUAUACUUUUGACCAUAGAUAAAUGAAUAUAUAUAUAUAUAUAUAUAUAUAUGUGUGUGUGUGUGUGUGUGUGUGUGUGUGUGUGUGUGUGUGUGUGUGAGGAUCAAGCCUCCUUAAAUAGCCAAAAAGAGGAGACAAAGCAUUGUUUGCUUUUUGACUAACUGCCAUGAAUAGUAAUCUCGUGCAUGAAUAGUGAAUAGUGAAUAGUAAAAUUCACUUUUCCACCGAAUUCCACCAAAAAAAACCCACUUUUGGCUGAGAAGACUACCGACAAGCUGCUUUAGACUGUGUAGUCACAUGCUUGCUGCUUUUGGUGCUGAAACUGCAAAGCUGUAAAAUAUUCUUGAUGGUAGGAAGACAUAAGGCUGAUGAUUACUUGGAUCUUCUUAUUGGAGGAAGGAUUCCUUCACAAUCGUCACCAUUGUCUGGAAGGUAGCUUGUUGAAUCAUCAAAUUCUGCAUAAGAAUUUUCUUGGGAGAAGCUUGAUCUUCCUUCUUCAUAUAUAUAUAUAUAUUUGAAAAGCAACCCAAAAUAUAUAAGGACAAAAAACAUCUAAAAAUCUAAUAGAUCGUACAAAAUCAUACAUGACGAAAAUGAAUGAUGCUAUAUAUUGCAAUUUCAUUUUGCCGACUAUAUUGAAAGAAGAGUAUAGCAUAUUAAAAUAAAACUGACUUGAUCAUGAACCAUGUAUGGUCAUCUAAGGUCACCACUUCCUAAUCGACAUGAACAUAUGUGGAGAUGGAAAUGAUAAGUAUUAAAAAGCAACAAAUGUCAUAAUAAUAAUUUUUUCAUUGCUCGUGUGGAUGUCUUUGUACAAACAAUAGCCAAAAUGGUUUGUUUUUCUCUGUUUCCCUCGUGUAAAACUAAAUCACUUGCUAUUCCCGACGUAUUUUAAUAGAAUUACAUAAGUUGGAGGCCUUCAUGGAAUCACCAUUUUUGAAUGUCUGCAUAUGUUUAAUGACAUGCACUCCACAGUCCCACCUAAGAAAAAUAUAAGAAAAGAAAAACAACUUAUUGAAUGGAUGUAUAAUUAUAGCUCAGAUAAACAAUAUUAAUGUGAGUAAUGUAUUCAUACUAACCCAUUAUCUUGGGUCAGAAUUGAAGGAGCCCAAUCAAUGGAGAAUUGGAAGACAUCUUUCCCUAUGUCAUACAGUUUCAAGAACAUUUGACAAAAUUCAACCUAAUUUAUUUUGAAAGUGUUAAUAAUUGUGGAAGAGAAAAAAAAAAGCAAAUUAAAAGGAAAACAAAUAGCUGAAAGCAUACCACUGUUUUGACACUCUUAAAUUGGAACUCGUCUCGACUCCUUGAUCGCAAUGAAUCCAAAAUUUGGAUGUGAGAGUUUUUAAAUUCAAUGACGCAAAGAUACUAAUGAUCGGGGCACUCGUCAUGCAUUAGAAUAAAUAGCUGUAAAGUUAGGAAAACAAUAUCUAUGAGUAAGGGCACAUAAUAUCAACACUAUUGUAUGUGAAAACAAUAUUUACUCUAAAUUUGAUAUAUGCAAUUAAAUAUUACAAAUUAUUACUAACCUUCUCGCAAUCAUCCAAUUCGUUGAUUUACUUACUCACGAUGGAUGUUUUUCUAUCAAAAAAAUGAAGAGGAGGACUCCCGCACAAAAUCAUUUGCUAAUAAUAGAACAUAAUACGAACAUUAGUAUAUUGUACUUAAUAUGUAAGUAAACAACAAGAGAUAUCUGAGAUUACUGAAAAUGUCGUGGGAAGAUAGCAUCUUAUACUUCGUAUGCCUAUGAAUUGCCUCUCAAAAUAAUUUAACUUUGAUGCUUCUAGAUUUAUUACCUGUUGUUAAACAAUAACUUUAAUAAAUUUGUUUAAUUAAUAAAACACGCAUUUUAUAUAAAUGAAGUAGGUACUUAUAAUAUCCAACAAAUUUUGUCUAGGACGUAAGCAAUCAAAAUCUCCACGAACUCCAUGUUCACGAGCAAAGUCAACAAGAAGCUCACUAAAAUAAUAAUAUGUUAAAACAUUGUUGACUGAAUUGGAAAAAUAUGAAGACUAAAAUUGUAACAACACAUCUAUGAAUGUUCUAGACACUACAAACCUUUUUGACAAUGCUUUAUUGAAAACAUAAUCAGCAACAAGAGAUUGAAGUACAUUGAAUGAUUGAGCAUCCACCACGUCUUCACAAAUGGAUAUGGGGAUUGACUAAAUUGAAAACAAGACAUAAUUAUUAGCUAUAUAUGUUGAGUAUCAAAAAUAAGAACAUGAUAUUAAACUAUUUGUAUUAUACCUCUGAUACUUGACGUUUUCCUAUCUUCCUUAAAUUGUGUACAAACGGGGAGAUCUUGAAUUUACUUGGUUUCCUCUCCCUUGAUGUACAUGUUUUCAUGACAUGCUCGGGAAAACCACAAAGUGCUCGUAAUGGUUCCUAAUAUGGAAAAUGUCAUUAAUAUACAUCUAUUUACUAUGGAAUGGUUAAGUAGUUGUAAAGAAAAUAAUUUUUUCUUUUCUAGGAUACAUACCUUUCCAUAAUCUCUUCUAAUUCUUUUGAUUGGUAGUGGUAAAAUAUCAACAUUUUUGUCUGGAAUGAUAUGCAUUUUAAUUGAUGUAGCAAAUGCAUCUUCAUUCUUUCCAUUCAAGUCCUCAGUGCAUAACUUGUCAAUUAACAAAGUGUGAACAUAAUAUUCAUUUCCUUUGUUAUUGUCCUUAUCUUCCAAACUUCUCUCGCAUGAGAGAAUGUCAUUCUUCGUUCCCUCCUCGUGCAUUCUCAAAGGUUUUUCGCUUGACCCAAGGAAGAGACCUUUCAAUGUAGUAUAUUUCUCCUCAAAUUCAAUAAAAACUUUUUCACAACUACUACUACUUGCACCAUGAGACAAAUCAAUUAGAUGUGUCUUUAAUUGUUGAAAGGUUUUAUCCAUCUCCAUUAAGCUCCCACCAUCAACCUAGUGAUAUAUAGGAAAUUCAUUAAUAACAUCAUAAUACAAGGGUUCACUACUAAUAUUGAUAGUCACGAUGAAUAUUGUAAAACUUACUCAUUUAAUAACAUCUUUGUUUGGAUUGAGUUCAAAUUUCUCAUCCUCCUCAUUCUCCCCCUCCAUUGUCUUCGCAUUUUCAUCAAUGCAAUCCCUUAUCUCAUUUUGUAUCAUCCAUAUUUUGACCUACAAUAUAUUCAAAAUAUAACACAUAUCAUAUUUAAAUUCACUAAAAACUUAAACCAAUAUUAAACGACUUUUGAAACUAUAACUUACAUUGUCAUUCACAUAUCCACCCUGUUUUUUCAAUCUUCAUUUCAUAUCCAAUACUUCAUCAUCUCUCCAAGCAGUAAUCCGAGGAGAAGGUUGAGUAUAUAGCGGUAGAAAUUUCUCUUCGAACGAUAUAUGCUCGUGGUAGAAUAACUGCAAUUAUAUUUUACAUAGAUAUAUAGUUAGUUCACAAAUUUUAUUAUAACAAAUUCGAAAUUCACUAUGAUGUAAAUUAUGUACAAGGACAUUACCAUUAAAAACAAUAAGCAACCAAAAACCCCACUUUUUUGGUUCAUCUUAAACUCUUCAAUCCCGUGCACAAGAUAAGACAACACAAUUUCAGCCCAAUUCAACUUUUUUAUUUAAUCGAUGUCUUCCACAAGAUGUAAGAAAGAACAUUUCACAAAACACUUCAUUGUUGGAUACAAUAAUGCACCCAACACAAAUAAUACAAAACGAACUUUGAAAUCGUUUCCACCUUCUUUAUCCUCCCUAAUAUGAUUUUCUAAAAUCACUAAUGGCAAUCACCCCUUUUUAUCACAAUAUUUUUUACAUAAAUCAUUCUUAUGGCUAACAUCUUUGUUCAUGUCAAUCUUCAACCCUCUUGUCCUCAAUCCCAUAAUAAAUUCAACACCAAUGGAGGAUAAUUUGAUACAAGUAUUAUACAACUCUAACAUAUAAGUGUUCGGAUUGAAACUAUUUAUCAACUAAAGACAUAACCCAUGAUCAAUUUUCCUACAUCGAAGUUGCAAGAGGUUACCAAAUCUUAUUUCUUCUAUGGUUGCUUUUUGCUUUGGUUCUAAUUCUUCAAUAACUCUAAUCACUUGCUCGGGUGAGCAUCAAGUCUGAAGAUAUAACUGAAAAGAUACACAAACCUCAAACAUGUUUACAUUAAUAUAAUUUGCAACAAAUACAUAAGUAAUUGAAUUUUAUAUUCAUUACAAAAAAUUUACCUUUGGACCCACACCCUUUUGAAGUGAAUAUUGUUUUGAACUUUCUUUUAACUUUGCCAUGAAAUCUUCUUUUUCUACUUUUGAAAGUGCAUUCCACUUCUUGCUCAAUUUAAAUUCUUUUUAUAAAAUGUAAUUAUAUUAGUCACAACAAUAUUACUCCUUACAUCAUCAUUUAUCUUCACUCCUUUAUCCUUCUCUUUGAUCAUGGUCAAUUGAUCGUUACUACAAAAAAAAUUCAAACAAAUAUAACUAUAACAACCACAAAAAAAUAAAUAAAAAAACAUAUUCUUUUACAUAUUUCUAUUUUCCCUUACUAAUAAUGUAUCCAAGCUCCGAUAGGCCUCUUUGGAUUUCUAACAACUUCAACACCAUCGCGUUCGCUCCUAAAAAUUAAAUCAAAUCAUUUAAGUCAAUUUUUAUAAUAUGAUUUCAGAUAUAAUAAAUCAAACAUACUUUCACCACCACUACAAAAUCCUCCCUAAAUCUCUGUACAUUUUACAUGGUCACAUAUUAAUUAAUACCCUUUUCUCUAAAUUUAUUGUUGAGUAGCUAAGGGUCUAAGAGAAGUUUUUUGGCUGUUGUGAAAAGAAAUAGGUUCUCUUGCAAAAAUGAGCCAAUCUUUUGAAAGUAAUUCACCUAAUGAAGAAUGGGAGUCUAUUGUAUACAAUUUACAACUAAAUUCUGGUUUUUGUUGUGGUUUAACUGUUAUAUUUCCUUAAAAUUCUAAAUCAAGUCAACCAGCAAUAUGCAUUUCGAUUUUCAAUCAUUUUUUUUCCUCAUAAUUUAUUUGAUUUGCAGUUUCAUGAUGAUGACAUCAUUUUAAUAAGCAUUUAAGAAGGAAAUUUAUGAAGAAGAUCAAUUGCAUCUUUCUUAUGCUUUAGGCUCCCAGUUGAUUUUGAUAUUUGUCUUUACAAUUAUUGCCAGGAAGAUCUAUACUAUCCACAUCCACUGGUUCAGGAUAUUCUAUGGGCAUCUCUUCAUAAGGUGUUUGAGCCUAUUUUGGGGCAUUGGCCCGGAAACAAGUUGAGAGAGAAGGCCUUAUGCACUGUAAUGCAACAUGUACACUAUGAAGAUGAGAAUACACGGUAUAUAUGCAUAGGGCCUGUGAACAAGGUACAUGUGAAGUAUAGAAAGGUCCUUUGAACUGCAAUAAAUGUAGUGAUUACUAAGGUCAAUAAAUGUACCGAUUACUAUUAAUUAAGAACUAAACCAGUUAGCUUCUUUAGUUCUACCACUCUACUCAGGUGCUCUUGAUCUAAUUGUCUGUUCUUUUCUGUUCCAUGAAGCUCUUGAUUUCCUGUUAUCUGAUUUGUACAGGUGUUAAAUAUGCUUUGCUGCUGGAUUGAAGAUCCAAACUCAGAGGCCUUUAAGUUGCAUAUCCCAAGAAUUUUUUAUUAUUUGUGGAUUGCUGAAGACGGCAUGAAAAUGCAGGUCCGUAGUCUUUCUAGUUUAUCUCGGUGUGCCAUUUCCAUUUUAUUGGAAAUUAUUGAAUUUUAUUAUCUAUCUGUUUACUGCAGGGUUAUAAUGGAAGUCAAUUAUGGGAUACUUGUUUUGCUGUUCAAGCAAUUAUUUCAGCAAACCUAGGUGAAGAGUAUGGUCUGACUUUAAGGAAGGCACACCAAUUCAUAAAAAAUUCUCAGCUUCAUGUUGCUAUUGAAGUUUGAUCUCAUAAAUCACCUACGUAUAUUAGCAGUUGUCCAUAAUGAUUUUACUCGACUAUUCCUACUUUGUUUUCAAGGUCUUAGAAGAUUGUCCUGGAGAUCUGAAAUUUUGGUAUCGUCACAUUUCCAAAGGUGGUUGGCCAUUCUUAACUGCUGAUAAUGGAUGGACAACCUCUGAUUGUACAGCAGAAGGAUUGAAGUUGCAUAUUCCAAGAAUUAUUGAUUAUACGGACAUUUUUAUUGUUUAUUAUCUAAACUUUCAUUGGAAACAGUUGGAAAUAGAAAUAGUGGGGAUUAAGGUUGAGGGCCUGGGGUAUAACCAGGGUUGAGGCCAACAGUUGAUGCUGAAUGUUAAUUACCUUAAAUUUCGCUUAGUGAGUCAUCACCUUAAAUUUGUGUUUGGAAUAUUUAUAUUUAAAGUUGGCUUCUGCGUUUGGUGUUUUGUGCACUAAGGCAGGCAUCUGGAUGUUUUUAUUUUUGUUCACUGAUACAGAUUUUGUCGUGAUUUUCACCUAUAGAUGCAUACAUUUGCACCAAAAGAGCCUCAAUAUCUUUAGUUUCCAAACAGAGUUUGAGUGAAUCCUUCAUACAAUAAAAUCAAAAUUAUAAAAUAUCUAUUUUAAUUGAUUUAUAAAAUUCACAUUUAUUAAAUUUAUUUUAAUAAUUUUAUAACUUUUUUAUUUCAUAUUUAUCCAUUUUAUAAAAUAAAGAUUUUUGUUAUUAAAUAUUUUUAUUAUGAAAUUUACCUUUUUUAAAUUAAUUUUUUUAUCCUUACUUCUUUCAUGUAAUAAAUAAAUAUUUUUUAAAAAUUAUAUAUUUUAAUUUAUUAAUGAGAAUUACACUAGAGCAAAAUGCAGUUUUAAUUAACUUAUAUUGAAAUUAAUUUUUUUUAGUUAUCUAAGAUAAUAAAAUUAGAAUUCAAAAUGAACUCAACUUCCUUAGUUUAUGAGAAUUAAUUUUUUAUAUUAAAUGAUUGAGAAAAAAACUAAAAAUUAUUAUUCAGUAUUUUUAAAUAACAUUGAUAUAAUCAUAUAAAAUAAAAAUGAAGAUGAUAUUAAAUAAUACAUUAUUUUUUUUAUUAUAAAUUAUAUAUUUUAAUAAUAUAAAAUAUUCUUACUUAACUUCCAUUACUAAAUUAUUAACCUCCAAAAUUCAAUAUAAAUACAAUUUUACUUAGUUAUUAAUGGAAAAAAAAAAGCCUCCAACAAGAAAUUGACAAGUUUUUUUCUUCUUCGUUACACUGCAAAUCAAAAGUCACAAUUAAAUAUAUAAAUCCAAGAGUCAAAAAUCUAACUUUGGUACACCAGACCAUAAAAUUCUCCUUAGAACCAUUCUCCAUUUUAUGUGUUAAGUUGUGUUUUAAAAGCCCAAUCGGACUAGCCGAUCCGACCACCACUGCUCUUCCCAACUCCUGCUGCUAGCCCCCUCUUCCCCCUUUCUUUUGCAACUCUUCUCCCCAUUUUCAUAUUUUAAAAUUUGUGAUUUUAAUUUAAAUUAAUGAAAACAUUACGAUUUUAAAUAAAUAUCUAAAAACUUUGUGUCCCUUAGAUUUUAAAUGAAUUUCCGAUUUUAAAAUAAGUUUAUGAUUUAAAAAUAAAAUUUAAAAUUUCUAAUUUUAAAUUAAGAUUAUGAUUUUAAUUCAAAUUUAUGAUUUGAAACUAAUUUUUUGUUUUUUAAAUAAUUUUAUGAUUUUAAAAUAAAAUUUUGAUUUUAAAAUAAUAUAUAAAUUAUUAUUUUAAUUUUUGUAACUAUUUUUAAUUUUAAUAAUAUAUUAGUUAUAUAAUUAUGACAUCAUCAAUUCGACUAUAGUUUGACUAUCAGUCUAAUGAAUAAACCAUGAAUUGAUAACUUUUCUAAUUCAACAAUCGGUGAAAGUAUUGGUGUUAAGGGACAUAACAACUUUGAAAGGUACGUUGGUCUCUCUAAAGUUUAUAUCCUUCUUAUCAAUGGUCAAUUAUAUGAUUUUGAAGGAUAAUUGACCCAUUAUGAACAAGUGGACUCCCUUAAGCACAAUUCUCCCCCAAAAAACAUCUAGCAUUGUCGUCUACUCCAUGUUCAAAUGUCGGUGGCCAUAUCUCCUUAGAACAACAACCAUAGAAAAAUGAGCAUCCAUCAUAACUGGUGGCAACAACACAGAAGAUCAAUUAUUUCCUUUUCUUUUUCAUUUUUUUUUGUUUUUUUUUUCUUUGCAAAACUGGAAUUUUUUGACUUGUCCACCAUCUAAAUUAAAUUUUUUUGCUUUGAUUGCGACUUUAAUUGGACGUGUUGGGGAAAAAUUGGUGAAACGUCACUUAAACAUAACUAAUUGAUGUAUCAGGGACUGUAUGUCUUAAACCAUAUUAACUUUAUGAUUGAAUGACUGAUAUCUAUCAGGGACUGUCCCUGGACUCCCAAAAUAAUACAAGUCAUGGGGUUGGUGAUUGACUUGGUGUUGUGCUUCCAAGUUUCUGAAGUUUCUGAAGUUUCUCUCUUCUAUAUUAAGUUUAGCUAAUCAAUCGAUUAUGCUGAUACAAAUGGAAAGAAUAAAAUUUUUCCUACUUUAUAAGCUAAACAAUAUCUGAAUGAUUCUAUGAAAAUAAACUAGCCAUUACCUUCUUGGAUGAAUAAUCUAGUAGAGGGAAGAACCAUUGGAAUAGCCUUACACAUUGUUAUAUUUGUCUUAAAUAGUGAGUUGUUGAUUUGGUUGGGUGUGGAGUUAUGUAAGUAGGCUAUCACAUGAUUCACAUCUACUCUAUGUUCAAAUACUGGUGGCCAUUUCUCCUAAGAACAACCACAAGAACCAUAAUUAUAACUGAUGGCAACAACACAGAAGGUCAUUUAUUUCCUUUCCAUUUUUGGGGGUUUGCAAAAAUGGAAUCUUUCACAUGUUAGUUGAUUGAGACUUUCCAUUUGAAUGUUAGUUGAUACAAUUUGAAUGCUAUAUACCUAAUUGAUGUGUCAUUUCUUCAGUAUAUUAAUUUUAGGAUUGAAUGACUGAUAUCUAUCAGGGACUGUCCCUGGACUCCCAAAAUAAAUUUCUAAAAAUGUACAAAUUUAUGUAACAUCAAUGCAUAUACAUAGAUAAGCAUAAAUUAAAUGUUAGUGUUCUCAUUCAUAAAUACAAGUCAUGGGGAUUGGUGAUUGACUUGCUGUUGUGCUUCUAUAUUAAUGAGCGAUUCCCUCCCGGAACUCGCCAUUCCAAGUUUCUGAAGUUUCUCUCUUCUCUGCCCACCCAGCACCUAUCUUUCUGUCCUUGGUCUGUAUCAUUUUAACUUAAUUUUAGUGCAAAGAAAAGCUUGUCUAACCUUUCUGGUGAUUGCAUGAUCAGCAGGUGUUUUCGGAAGGGAGACACACAUUUUUGUAAACUUAGAUAUAUAUAGAGAUAUACCUCGUCAGUUUGGUGAGUUUGAAAAUGUGGAGGCUCAAGGUUGCAGAUGGAGGCAAUGAUCCCUACAUCUACACCACCAACAACUUCGUGGGAAGACAGAUAUGGGAGUUUGAUCCUGACUAUGGAACCACAGAAGAACGA
This 66550-nucleotide long non-coding RNA is filed under the name Vitis vinifera (wine grape). RNAcentral describes it as "long non-coding RNA (VVIN_LNC003053)". The record is from RNAcentral. Lineage: Eukaryota; Viridiplantae; Streptophyta; Magnoliopsida; Vitales; Vitaceae.